UUAUUAAAAGUUUUUUUAAAUUACCAAAUGUUGAACAAAUUAUAUUUUUAUCAAUAAAUACUAACAUGCGGGCUGAUCCGCCAACCCUCAGACGAAAACCGAUUAAAACCUAUGAUCCACUGCGAAUCAAUCCAUGUGGUCCGUUUAUUUGCGGAUUUAAUAUAUUUUCCCAAAUAUGCCCCAUAGUGAGAUGAUUUGGGCUCGACCCACAGUUUCCUAUGAAUCGUCUAAUUUUAGAAUUCUAAAACACAAAAUCCCAUUUUUUAAUAAUAAUUAAUAUGAUCGGUUUAAUUAUAAACAAUUUAAUAUUUUCUCUACAAUUCGUUAUUAUGAAUAUUUAUAAGUACACUACACGAUUCGCUCUACUUAAAACGCGCACAAUAUUAAAAUCAACGUAUGUAAACCAAUAUUCUCCCGCGGUGGACCGCGGGUCCUAUCCUAGUUAGCUUAGUAUAAAGUGAUUCUUGGUGGAGCAAACCCAAGACUGAUCAGUGAUCACCAUUCAUUUCAUACAUUGGACUAACUUAAGCAGUUAAGCUAAUGACUCACCAAAAGUAAUUUGUUUGAAAUAUUUAAGAGCUAAAGUAUAUAUUACCUUAACGCCAGAGGCACUAACAUCCACAUGGUGGUCUAAGCCAUCCUGUAUAAAAGGAAAAUACCAGAUUUGGUAAGACAGGGAAACCCAAAUCAAGGCAGUAAAAACAAUGAAAAGCCGAUGACAUACGAUAAGCCUUUUCUGCAAGCCAAGCUCCUCAUUGAGAGCUAGAGCAAUGUGUUUUACACUCAUGACUGUUGCCUCCAACUUCUCAAGUUCUUCGUCUUGUUCUACUCGCAGAAAAAAAAGAACAUACUAAAUAGAGAAACUAAUACAGAAUUCAAUAUCUGUAUUAUAUUCACUAGGAUAAAAGCAGCUUGCCUUUCAUAACUUGUCGUUGUAAUCCAACAAUUCCUUGGUUAUCCAUGCCAAUAACUCUGCUCAUGAUAUCAUCUUGCUUUUCUGGCCUCAACAAGCUGUCAAUAUUGGAAAAUUUUAACAUGUCCAAAGCAGACGCCAUCUGAUUUGCUUUUGAUCUCAGAUCCUCAACCAUACCCUUGCGCCGGCUCAUCUCUUUUGCUGAACUGUGCCAGUAAGUAAAUGUUCAGAUUGACAAAAAAGAAAAAGAAAAAGAUACAUUCACAUAUUAAACAUUAAUUAAACUUUAAAAAAAUAUCAAGUUUACAUAGGUUUUCCAGGACUUUUAGCAACAAGAUACUGCAGAGUCUCUACUCGAGUUGCCAAAAUGGUGAUCUUUCUUCGCAUAGAUGAAGCAUGACGUAGAUCAUAAUGUUCUGAUCCGGCCAUUGAACUGCUUUCUAAUAUCAUUUCAUCAAUCUCCUCUGAGAGUUUUAAAGCCUCGUUGUGUUCUCUCUUCCAUGAAUCCAACGAAGAAGCCAUUGACCUGAUUCCUACAUAAUCAAAAAAGUUAAAUCAAAUACAGAUCACUUUCAACUUGACCAAGGAAUGUAUAUACAAGAUGCAACAACAACAACCAAAAUCCAACUAGCUUACAAGAAGCAACAAAUUCAAUAUUGGUAUUAACACAUGUAUUAAGGGAUGAUCGGAGCAAUUCAACAACAUAUAUAUUCCCAAAAAGAGAAUCCAAUUGCUCACCAAGGACCUUUGAUUAAUCCAUCAUUUUCAUGGAGAAAUAGAUCAACUAGCUGAGUGCUGACUUUGUAGCCACGCAACCAGACGGCAGUUUCCGUCGAAAGAAGAGAUCUUUUAAAUACGAGGCCGUUUACUUAUAUGAUCGUAGAAAGUUAGGCGUUGACAAGUCAUUUAGAGAUUAAGAAACAGUACACACAAAAAAUGAAGGACCAAAAGGAAUUUUGUUUCCAGUGAUAAUGGAUGGAUGACAUGAAUAUCGGUAUUAUAUAAAUUUCCCACAAUAUUGAACUCAGACAAGUUUCUUUGAUGAAGAUCUGACAUAUACCCUUUUUUUUUUGUCUCUGCAUUUUACUCACUACCACUUCUUAAAUCUUUAUGAAGACAGCAAACUGUGAAAACUGCACACGUUACAUAUUAUUAUUUCUUAAGGGUUCUUGUAACAGAAGAGAAAUGAAAAGCUCAACCACAAAUGUGGAAUGAGGAAAAUACAUUACAACCAUUCACAUAGAGAGUAGAGGCCAGUGACAGUGACCUACAGAGAAACUUAUAAGUUUUCUGAUGUUGGUAUUACAGAUACUUAACCAACAUCCAUAUUACAACAACAAGACCGACGAUCCCCAGCACUGACAAGAGCAUUGACAUGCAAGAGCAACCACUUCUCAUAUUCUUGUUCAUGACAGCAAGGCUCUUCUGCACUCUCUGUAAUAAGAAACAACAUACAGAACAGAUCAAUGUCUUUAAUUAGCCGUUAACUUAGCAUAAUGUGGUUCUUGAUUGAGAAAACCCAAAACAGAUCAUCAUUAGAUCAAUGUUACUCCUGAUAAAGUAUGGACCAACUAAAGCUUGGGAUUCACCAAAGUGAUUUGUUGAAAUAUUUAAGAGUUGAAGCAUAUAUUACCCGUAAGCGAGAGUCAGUAACAUCCACAUGGUAAUCUAAGUCAUCCUGCAUACAGGAAAAUCCAAAUGUGUCACGAUCCGAAAAUUCAAACCAAGGCAAUACAAUGAAAAGCUAGUGACAUACAAUAAGCCUUGUCUGCAAGUCAAGCUCUUCACUAACAGCCAGAGCAAUGUGUUUUGUGCUCAUGACUGUUCCCUCCAAUUGCUCAAGUCCUUCGUCUUGUUCUACUCACAGGAAAAUAACAUAUUCAAUAGAAAAACUAGUACAGAAAUCAACAACAUCUGCAUUAUGUUUACUAGGAUAAGAGAGGUUACCUCUCAUAACUUGUCGUUGAUAUCCAACAAUUCCUUGAUUAUCCAUGCCAGUAACUCUGCUCAUAGAAUCAUCCGGCUUUAUUUCUGGCCCGAGCAAGCUGUCUCUAUUGGCAAAGUUUGACAUGUUCAAAGCAUUCGCCAUCUGGUUUGCUUUUGAUCUCAAAUUCCCUACCAUAUCCUUGCGCCGAUUCAUCUCUUUCUCUGAACUGUGUCAGUAAGUAAAAAUUCAGAUUGACAAGAUCAGAUCAACACUACACUUAAAAGUGUCUACUUUACAGUUUUAAGCAAUUAGGAUUUAGACUAGUAAAUGGCUUACAUAGGUUUUCCAUGAAUUUUAGCAAGAAGAGACUGCAAACUGUCUAAUCGGGUACCGAAAAUGGUGAUCUUCCUUCGUAUAGCUGAAGCACGACGCUGAGCAUCAGGCCCUGUGACAGCAGAAGAACUUCUUUCUGAUAUCAUUCCAUUAAUCUCCUCAGAGAGUUUUAAAGCAUCGUUGUAUUCUCUCAUCCAUGAAUCCGACGAAGACGCCAUUGACCUGACUCCUAUACAAUUAAAAGCUAAUCAAAGCCAAGACCUGGGAUUAUACAUCACUUUCAGAGAAAUUUUCGAACUUAAUCAAGGAUGUAUAUGCAACAACAACAACAAAGAUCCACAAAUUGAGACAAAAACGCGGCCUUUGGAUAGAAUUUUCUAUAAUCAGACACAGAAGCUCAAAAUAUGAAAUUUCCAGGAUCGAUAAGUUCAUGAUAAGGGAAGAUCGGAGCGGUUCAGCAACAGAUAUAAUCCCAAAUCAAUGCACUGGGAUUGACGAAAAUAACAUGGUUAAAAGAAUCGAAUUGCUUACCAAGAUAUUCCUCGGACCUUUGAUCAAACCUUCUAUUUGAUCCUGUAACAGAUCGGCUUAUUGAAUGUUGACUCUGUUUUCGCCGGAACCACCGUGAAUCGGAGGAGAAUGAGUCGACCUGUCACGCACCGUCGAAAGAAAGAAGAGAUUUAAAGAUGAAGCUGAAAUAAAACGACGCUGUUUAACUUGUGAUAGCAGAAAGUUAUGGGUUAAUUAGUUAUUUAAGAAAGUAUUGGUUAAUAAACAGAAACCAUGUAUAAAUAAAGGACCAAUAAAGAAUUUUUAAAUUUUCGAUCCCCACAUCCAUCCCAUGCUUGUGCUCCUCUGUCUCCUUCUUCCUUGUCAGAAUCUUGAGUUUCUCUCUAACUGUGUGUCAUAAUUAGAUCGUUCUGAUUGCAGUUUCCGUUUCGAUUAUCGUUAAUGGUGUUUUUGUUUCCGGGAAAGUGAUAUAUUUUGAAGGGUAAUUUUGGUGUUCUAAAGCAAGCUCGAGAAGGGGAUCGCACGAUACAUUUUUACAAUCUCGCGACUUCGAUUCAUGUAAGUGUUAGCUCUCUUAUUCUUCUUUCUUGCACAAAGUUGAAUCUAAAUCCUUUACCUUUAUCUCUCCUUGGGUUCAAAUUCAUGUUUUUUUCUAUAACAUUUAUCGAGUUUGAGAUGUCUGAUCGUUAGUGGCUGAAACUUGUUUUUCAGGGAAUCAAUAGAGCAGUCUAUAAUCCCAGGUUUGCCUGAUGAUUUGGCUUUGAGAUGCAUAGCGAAGCUUUCUCAUGGCUAUCAUGGAGUGCUCGAGUGUGUUUCCAGAGGCUGGAGAGAUUUAGUUCGUAGCGUUGAUUACUCUUCCUAUAAAGCUAGAAAUGGAUGGUCAGGGAGCUGGUUGUUUGUGUUGACAGAACGUUCUAAGAACCAGUGGGUUGCUUAUGAUCCUCAAGCUGAUCGAUGGCAUCCUUUGCCUACAACUAGGGCUGUUCAAGAUGGUUGGCAUCAUUCUGGUUUUGCGUGUGUUUGUGUUUCCAAUUGUCUUCUUGUGAUUGGGGGUUGUUAUGCGCCUUCUGUGUCAUCGUUUCCUCAUCAGAAGCCUGUUGUCACUAAAGAUGUCAUGCGGUUUGAUCCGUUUAAGAAAGAAUGGAAAAUGGUUGCUAGUAUGCGAACACCACGGACUCACUUUGCUUGUACUGCUGUCUCUGGCAAGGUUUAUGUUGCUGGAGGUCGCAAUUUAACCCAUUCCAGGGGAAUUCCCUCUGCUGAGGUUUAUGAUCCUGUGGCUGAUAGGUAUAUUUAUUCCUCCACUCACGUGGCCUAUAUUCUCGUGUAUUAUCUGGUGUAGGAUAUAUAUAAUUGGCAUGAAGAAUCCCCACAAUUUACUCUUUUUGGUUUUUUUCUAUGCUGGCUGAGAUAUACUUUUUAAAGUUUUCUUAUGUUUAACUUGAGAAGCUAUCAAACUGGAGUCUAACAUAGAAGUAUUGCAGAUGGGAGGAAUUACCAGCAAUGCCUAGACCACAGAUGGACUGCUCGGGGUUAUCGUACAGAGGUUGCUUUCAUGUUCUGAGUGACCAGGUGGGAUUUGCAGAGCAAAAUUCAUCUGAAGUUUUUAAUCCACGAGACAUGACUUGGUCCACUGUGGAGGAUGUCUGGCCAUUCUCUAGAGCCAUGCAGUUUGCUGUUCAGGUGAUGAAAAAUGAUCGAGUGUACACUAUUGUAGAUUGGGGAGAAAGCUUGAUCAAGACUAGGGAUACAGAUGAAGGGGAAUGGUACAAUGUUGGUUCAGUUCCUUCUGUUGUUCUUCCUAAUCAUCCGAGAGAGUUAGAGGCCUUUGGUUAUGGGUUUGCAGCUCUAAGGGAUGAGCUCUAUGUUAUAGGAGGUAAGGUCCUUAAAUGGGAAGAAUCAGGGGCAGGGAGAUUUGACAUUGUGAGAUUGCCCGUUGUGAGGGUAUGUAACCCUUUGGAUAGGCCUCUGAAUUGGAGAGAGACCAAACCGAUGUGCAUUCCAGCCGGUGGGUCCAUCAUUGGUUGUGUAUCCUUGGAAGAAUCUUCUCCGCUUUAAACCAAGGUGAUAGAAUCUUCUGGAUGUAUAAAAUUGUUACAGUCAAUUCUUUGAUUGUUGCAUGGUGAGAAGAAAAAGUAGUUAGAAGGAGUCAUGGAAAGCAUUUGGUUAUCAUCGAUAUCUGCUUUUGUCUUUUUACAAACAAGUAACUUCGCCUUGUUAUUUGAUCAUCUCUUUUACAGAAGUCUCGUAAGGCUUAUGUUAAAAAGUAAGAAAGCCUGAAAUUUAGCAUAUCUUGUUUCCAUGCUGGCAUGGAAACUCUACGCCUUAAACUUAACUAUGUGUUGGUUUGUGGUUGAUUAUGGUUGCGUAUUUUCCAGUAAGGGUUAACACUCUUUAAAAAAAUUUACUUCUACUGUAGCUGACUUAUAUUCAUGGAAUGUCCGAGUGUGUUCCUUCUCUGAGAAAGACCUUGGUCUCAUUGUCAAAGUGGAAGCUUCUGCUGUAAUACUCACUGCACAUACAACUGGACACUUGGAGCUAACUGGAAAUCGUGUGGGUGAAAACAGUUGUUUAUGAGGGAAGUCGUUACCUAUAAUGCAUUUAUCUUCCGGGUAAAAGGCUUCCACCUUUAUGUGAAAUGAGUUCAGUAUGUCAUGCUAUGAGAUGAUUACUGGUUGUUAGGCCGUUACUGUCACUCAUAUUUGGAAUUAAACUUGUACAUAAUAAGAGAUUCAUGUUACCUCAGUGUAUUUGAGUGUUAGUGAACUUAUCUUUUGUUAUGUCUCCAUUUUACCUACACUGAGGUGUAUCAUGUGUAUAGACUAUAGAUCAAACACGUGAAAGAUAAAUUAAGAGUAAUACAAAUAGUUUGCUUCUUUUUUAGAUUCGUUGAUUUGCUACAUAAAGUCUUAUAAAUUGCAGAAAGAGGUAUUAUUAGAUGAAGUAAUGGAAUACAUUCACACACACAUAUAUAUAUAUAUAUAUAUAUUUUGGACGGCGAUUCGCACAUAUCAUUCUUUGUUGAAAUACUAUCUUGAAAGGUGAAGAGUAUUGGUUUUCCUGUCACUGUGUCUUGUGAAGCAUGAGUGGUUCUGAUUCCAGUGAGAAUGAGCUGUUUUCAAUGACUAUGUCCGGAGAAGAGUAAAGGAGUGACAUAGAUUCGGGCAUUGCAAUCCGAAUGUGCCCAUGCUCUUCAUCAUUCUGAGUUCGGCUUUGAAUGCCUUUUUUCUUGGAUUGCAUCCUAUCCAGUUCAAUAAAAACAUCUCUCAUGGUAGGGCGAUGUUCUGAGUUCAAGCUCAAACACCUUCUUGCCAGGUUGGCUACUGAAAGGACCUCCUCUUGAUUGCAUUCCUCCUUGAUGCGAGCAUCAAGAAUCUCGUGAAGCCUAUCAUUUCUCAUGGCUUCGAGGAAGUAGGCACCCAACAUCCUGACUUCUUGGCGCCUCAGAAGGGAGACAGGUUUCUCUCCGGUUAAGAGCUCAAUGAGCAAAACCCCAUAGCUGUAGACAUCGCUCUUCCCUGUGAAGUGGCUUGACUGAAGGUACUCUGGGUCUACAUAUCCAAUUGUUCCCUGCACUAUUGUUGUCAAGUGAGUGUCAUCUAUAGCAAUUGAUCUCGAAAUUCCAAAAUCUGACACUUUUGCUCGGUGCCUUUCAUCCAAUAAGAUAUUUGUUGACUUGACAUCCCUGUGGUAAAUUGGUAUAGAGGCGGCUGAAUGCAGGUAGGAGAGGGCAUCUGCGACUUCGCAGGCGAUGCAGAGACGGACUUCCCAAGUCAUUGGGAAAUCCUCUGAUGGGUUUUGAAGAUGAUCGAAAAGGUUUCUGUUUGGAAUGAACUCAUACACUAACACAGGUACCUCUGUCUCAAGACAACAUCCUAAAAUCUUGACAACAUUUCGGUGGUUAAUCUGUGACAGAAGGAUUAUCUCAUUGAUGAAUUCCUCAAGAUUCUUUUCUUCCAAUGCUUUGGACUUUUUGACAGCGACGAUCAUCCCAUCUUCCAACAUUCCCUUAUAAACUGUACCUUGGCCUCCUUGUCCCAGUAUUCUACUAGGGUUGAAUUUGUCAGUUGCCUUGUUAAGGUCAUCGGAGCUGAACACUUUGGUUCUAUUGACACUGCCUUGAAGGAACGAUGUCUGUUGUUGUAACAACAAACCUCCGUUUCGUUUGAAGAAUUUUCUUUUCUGCUUGGCUGCUUUCCGCUUUUUAUUAACCUUGCAUAGCCACCACGUUCCAACGACUAAAAGCAACAAUCCAGUACUUAGUGUUCCACCUGCAGAAUAACUCUCAGCGCAUUGUAAGUUGAUCUUUACAGUUUCAAUGAAGAAAGAUUAUCGGCUAUGCAGAAAUUAACUUACUUAAAAUGGCUGGCCAAGUUUUCUCACAUUUGAAUGAUCCAGACACAUUCACACACUUGUUCUUUCCACAUUUAUUGUGAUAUGAAUAUCUGCAUUCAUCAAUGUCUUUGGACAACACCAAACUUCUCAUAAUCACUUACAGAAUUCUAUGGAUUAAGGCUAUACACAUACUCAAAGAAUGAGAAAGAAGUUUAUACACACCUUGACAUCCACCAGGUAUAUAAGGAUUUCCUUCAUAACCAUGUUUACACCAACACUGAUAUCCAUCUAUGGCAGAUAGGUUUCCUAAACUUCUUGGAAUUUGUUCACCAUUUAUACUUGCCUCACAUAGCGCUGAACCCUCUGAAGGGAUGGGGAGAACAUCAAGGAACCAUUCCAGCUCCAUCAUAACGUAAUUUCUGUACUCUUGUAGUUCAGGAGGUGUGAACAUGAACGCAGCCAACUGGAAUUGUGUCAAGUAGGCAACCUGACAACCAUCUUUACUGGGUUCUAGUUUCUCCACAGUUGCAUCAAACACUUGAAGACCAGAUGGUAUUUUGGUCUGACAGCACUUAUCACCCAGACAGCCCCUGACGUUAUCAUCUUUGUAAGUCUCAUUCUUGCACGUCGCCUCACAUCCCACGAUCUGUGAUCCUGUGCCUUUCAUCAAGGCCUUGUUGUUACAUCCAAUAGCUGUGAACUUAUUAUUGUCUGAUAUGAAGAAUGGACUCCCCUUCAGAUUCAAAGACGAUGAAUCUCCUACUGAUCCGUUGGAACAACCUGUAUGUUUCAAUGGACCCAGAAUGUGAAUCUUGUUGCUCUGAUAAUGAGAACGGUCAUCGAUGGAGUAAUAGCUUCCAAGGUCAAACGAAAUAACCUCCCGUCUGAUGCUAAGCAGGAAAGGUACAGAGAUUUGUUCUGAUGAGUUGAUGCAGACGAUCUCGAACCAUUUGUCCUUGUAACAACCUUGGCCUAUCCCAAAAGGGUAAAGAACACUAACAUCUCCGCAAUGGUCUUUGCAAUUUGGAAGUGCAAGAGGGAAAGUAGAAGCAGCUGCGUGUUCGGAGAUUCGCAACAGAAUCAAUACCACAAAGAAACGUUUUAGAUCACUAUCCAUUCUCUCUCUCUCUCACACUCUGAUCAGCAAUGAUUUGACUAAUACUAUAAUACAUAGUAUCGUUCCUCUUGGUCUUUCUUUGAAAUUUCCUCGCAAUCACUGCUAAUGUUUCUUUAUUACCCCAUGAUUACAUCAGCGAAGACCUUGACCGCUUCAACCAAAAAGAAAGAAAAAAAAAAACGAAGAUCUUGACCUGUGUGUGAAUGGGCUCCAUAAAAACAGUAUAAACACAAAAGAGGAACCCCUUUCUGAAAUGCGAAAAACAUUCAUAAUGAAACGCUUCGAACAAAAACACAGAAGCAGAAUACUCUGUUUCCUCUGUUUUACGUUGACUUGCAUGUAUGUAAAAAAGGUUGUAGCGACAACCUAUUGGCUGUCUGUCAAUGGGCUUAGAACUUGAGAGUUAAUAAGGCUAUGGACUUUUAUGUUUAGACUUAAUGGGCCUAAAACUUGAGAUGGUCUACAAAAUUCAUACGAAUCAAACUAAAAAGAAUCUAAAAAUUUCCGAAACUGAAUUCAAUGCAAAUUGAAAUGGAAUCAGAUUAACCGAAUUCAGAAAAUGACAGUUCUUGUGGGAAAGAAAAAAACAUUACGUAAGGGAAUAAAAAGAGAGAAAUUUUAUAACGAAAAUGAGAAUGAAAGUAUGCGCACGUUCUUCUACUUAAUUCAUUGAUUUAGGAUCUGAUGAUAUUGAGAGUCCCAUUUAAUGCAAACCGUAUAACAUAAGCUACGGGAGAGAGAGACUUGUUGAUUCCAUGCUUCUCACUUACUCCUCACUUAUUCUUCUUUCAUCUCAGCCGUCUAUUUCUCUCAUCAUCGAUAGAUGUACGGUUCUCGUUUCUUCUGGUUUUAAAGCACCGAGUCACACGGACACGAACCAUUUUGUAUUUUUCUUUCCAUUACAAUACAAAAAAAAAAAAAAAAAAAAAAACUCUUGACAAUUUAUUUGGUCAUUUUUAUCAUUUCUUUAAACGGAUUUACCAUUUUUUGAGUAAGCAACGAGGAAACCUAGAGAAAGUGAGAGAAAACCAACAAAAAUAAUUUAAAAAAAAAGUUAGGGUUUUGAUGCAGAUUCUGAGAUUUGAACAAAGAGAAGAAGAUGUUUUUGAUUGUUGCUAGCUCUCACAAUCCUUCUUGAAUCUACUUACCGGUCUAGCUCUACAUUUUUUCUUUGUGGUAUUGUUCUAUCAGUUUUUGAUUCUUUGACAUUUUCUGAAACUUUAUUUUUGGGUAUCUGAAGCUAAUUUUAGCGAUGUGGUAUGUCUAAAUCUUUCAAAUCGAGCUAGGGUUUUGUUUUCCUUUUUUCUUAAAUUACUUGUAUUGAGGUUUUGGAUUAAUUUAUGUAAGGUUGAUGUGGAAAAGUUUCCAUUUUUGGAAGAAAAAGCAUGUUUUUGGACUUUUCUGGUCGGAUUAUUCAAUCUACAAUUGCAAAUGGAAGAACUUUGAUGAGUAUUACUCUGUUUAAUUGAUAGUAUGAAAGACUCGAUGUUUCUGGAGGAUUCAUCUUCUGCUAAAACUUAUUUAUCUCUCUCAAUUGUGUUCAUUGCAGCUUAAAUAUUUAGGAGGGGAAGUUUGUAGCGGCAUCGGCUACAAUCGCUGAAGCAAUUUGGCAGUGAUUCUUUAUAGUUCAGUAUGUCAGAUUCUUGUUACAGGUCUUGUCAAUUAGAAUAAUUUGAAGGACUGUUGUUGUUCUUGUUGUUGUGAUGGAUAGAAACAGACCACCACAUCCGUUCCAGCAACAUGCCAUGGAACCUGGAUAUGUGAAUGACUCAGUCCCUCAAGGAUUUACCCCUGAUCAAACGGGUAUCUCGAAUGCAAAUGUCCGACCUCAUCCUGCAGAUGUUAAGCCGGGGCUUCAUUACUCCAUACAAACAGGGGAGGAAUUUUCUCUCGAGUUUCUACGCGAUCGGGUGAUUUCUCAAAGGUCUGCAAAUCCCAUUUCAGCUGGAGAUAUGAAUUAUCCCAUAGGUUAUAACGGGCACGCAGGGUCUGAAUUUGGUUCAGAUGUUUCGAGGAUGAGCAUGGUGGGAAACGGCUUGACGCAGUAUGAGAGAACAAACCCCACGGGUCACGAGUUUGGGAAUAAACUUGGGCAUAUCCAUUCAGCACCAGAAGCUUUAUUAUGUCAAGAUAGAAGUUUAGGAAAUUUUCAUGGAUAUGCAUCUUCUUCAGCCUCAGGUAGUUUAACAGCAAAGGUUAAAGUCCUUUGUAGCUUUGGUGGGAAAAUACUUCCACGUCCAGGUGAUUCAAAGCUUAGAUAUGUUGGAGGUGAAACACACAUUAUUUCCAUAAGAAAGGACAUUUCUUGGCAGGAGCUCAGGCAAAAAGUUCUUGAAAUCUACUACCGGACUCACGUUGUGAAGUAUCAACUUCCUGGUGAAGAUCUUGAUGCCUUGGUGUCUGUAUCAUGUGACGAAGAUCUACUGAAUAUGAUGGAGGAGUAUAAUGAGAUGGAAAACCGUGGGGGUUCGCAAAAGCUUAGGAUGUUUCUGUUCUCUGUGAGUGAUUUGGAUGGUGCUCUUCUGGGGGUUAACAAAAAUGAUGUUGACUCUGAGUUCCAGUAUGUUGUAGCUGUUAAUGACAUGGACCUUGGAUCAAGAAGCAACUCAACCCUUAAUGGAUUGGACAGCUCUUCUGCAAACAAUUUAGCUGAGCUGGAUGUCAGGAACACCGAGGGAAUCAAUGGUGUUGGCCCUUCGCAGUUAACAGGGGUAGAUUACCAACAAUCCUCUAUACAGUAUUCUGAGUCUGCUCCACCAACCUCCUUUGCUCAGUAUUCUCAAUCUAUUCCACAUAAUGCUGCAUUUCAGUUUCAGCAAGCUGUUCCCCCAAAUGCUACUCUUCAGUAUGCCCAGUCCAACCCACCAAGUUCGUCUAUCCACUAUCCUCAAUCUAUUCUACCAAAUUCCACUCUUCAGUAUCCACAAUCGAUCUCAUCCGGCUCGUAUGGAAUAUACCCACAAUAUUAUGGAGAAAGAGAGCAAUUUCCAAUGCAGCAUCAUGAUCCCAAUUCUUCUAAUUACUCUAUUCCCAUGCCUUUCCAAGGGCAGCCAUACCCUCACCCUGGCAUCACACAGCAAAACGCACCAGUUCAGGUAGAGGAGCCAAACAUAAAACCUGAGACGAAAGUUCGUGAUUACGUUGAGCCUGAAAAUCGUCAAAUUCUGGCAAAUAAUCACCAGAAUCUUCCUCAAGCGGAUGAUACUGAGGUUAAGAAUCGGGAGGCAUCAGUUGCAACAACUGUACCCAGCCAGGAUGCUGCACAUAUGUUGCCCCCAAGAAGAGACACACGGCAGAACAAUCCUGUGAAGCCUUCUACCUACCGUGAUGCUGUUAUUACUGAGCAGGUUCCUCUAUCCGGUGAAGAUGAUCAGCUUUCAUCAUCAAGUGGUACCUGUGGUCUUGUUCAUACCGACUCUGAGUCGAAUCUAAUUGAUCUUGAUUAUCCAGAACCUUUACAGCCUACCCGGAGGGUAUAUCGUUCGGAGAGGAUACCUCGUGAACAGUUGGAAAUGCUAAACCGCUUGUCAAAGUCUGAUGACUCACUUGGUUCUCAGUUCUUAAUGUCUCAUUCACAAGCUAGCACUGGACAGCAAGAACCAGCAAAAGAAGCAGCGGGUAAAUCACAUGAAGAUUCCCAUAUUGUUAAUGAUGUGGAAAACAUCUCUGGAAAAGUAGGGGCAUCAAAUGUAACCGUGGACAAAAUAACGGUCAAUGGUGGAGGUAUUGAGCCUGAAGCUCGUAACUUGAGCCAUGUAGACACAGAAAUGAGUCACGAUAUCCCUGAAAAGCAAACUUCUUCAGGUGUUCUUAUUGAUAUCAAUGAUCGGUUCCCUCAGGACUUCCUUUCUGAAAUAUUUGCAAAGGCACUCUCUGAUGAUAUGCCGCCAGGUGGCAAUCCAUAUCAGCAUGAUGGAGCUGGUGUUAGCUUGAAUGUAGAGAAUCAUGAUCCUAAAAAUUGGUCUUAUUUUCGGAAUCUGGCCGAGGAGCAGUUUAGCGAAAGGGAUGUUGCUUAUAUUGACCGAACCCCUGGCUUUCCAUCUGACAUGGAAGAUGGUGGAGAAAUCGCCAGAUUGCAUCAGGUUGCUCCGUUGACAGAAAACCGUGUGGAUCCUCAGAUGAAUGUCACAGAGAGUGAGGAAUUUGGUGCUAUGGUUGAGAACUUAAGGACCUCAGACUGUGAACAUGAGGUAUAAGUCUCUGGUAGAUUUGAUUUUAUGAUUCCAAAACCAUGAGUAUACUAAUGAGGAUGAACUUGAUAGGAUGAAAAGACAGAAACAAGGAACGCUGGACUUCCCCCAGUUGGCCCGUCUCUGGCAGAUUACGACACAAGUGGCUUGCAGGUAUGAUGGACAAUAAAUUCUUACACCUGAUAGAAGUUUUACUUAUUCUGCAUUAGAAAAAGGAUAGUAAGUUUCAGAUUGUUAAAAGAACCAAACAUAGUAUAACCCCUGUUUGUCAUUAUAAAAUAAAUUUCUCCUUCUAGUCUCUGCCUGUGAUCCUUCUAUUCUUAAAUGUUUCUAGAUCAUUAUGAAUGACGAUCUCGAGGAGCUAAAGGAGCUUGGUUCUGGCACAUUCGGUACAGUGUAUCAUGGGAAAUGGAGAGGAUCAGAUGUUGCCAUCAAAAGGAUAAAGAAGAGUUGCUUUGCUGGCCGAUCAUCUGAGCAAGAAAGAUUAGUGAGUGUUUCUGCAUUUUCUUUUGGAAAAAUUUCCUUUGGGCAUAUGUUAAAAGGAUUACCUAGUGAUAACACUUCUAGAUUUCUCAUCAUGGGACGCUUAUGAAUAUACCUUUUCUGUUCGCUAGACUGGUGAAUUCUGGGGAGAAGCUGAAAUUCUUUCAAAGCUUCAUCAUCCAAAUGUGGUUGCAUUUUAUGGUGUUGUAAAAGAUGGCCCUGGCGCAACAUUGGCUACUGUAACAGAGUACAUGGUUGAUGGUUCUCUGAGACAUGUUCUACUUAGGAAAGAUAGGUACAAAUCUCUCUUAUAACGUUUCUGUGUUUUCCCAUCUGAUGAACGGUUAAAGAUUAUUUGCUUUUUCACUUUUAUAUUGUCAGACACCUGGAUCGUCGCAAGAGACUAAUCAUUGCCAUGGAUGCUGCCUUUGGAAUGGAAUAUUUGCACGCCAAAAACAUUGUUCACUUCGAUUUGAAAUGUGACAAUUUACUUGUGAACCUCAAAGAUCCUUCUCGCCCAAUCUGCAAGGUAAAAAUUCAAUUCAUAUGAUGUCUUUGAACAAAAUCCAUUCAUACUCUUCACUCGUUUGUUCUUCCUCAAGGUUGGUGAUUUCGGUUUGUCAAAAAUUAAAAGAAAUACAUUGGUAUCUGGUGGUGUACGCGGAACCCUACCAUGGAUGGCACCAGAGCUUCUCAAUGGUAGCAGCAGCAAAGUUUCAGAGAAGGUAAAAUGAAAUAUUUCAUAGUGAAUAACUGAAUAUAAAGAAUGGGAACAAAACCAAAUCGAGUUAUUGCUGUUUUUCCUGCAGGUCGACGUCUUCUCUUUCGGUAUAGUCUUGUGGGAGAUUCUAACUGGGGAGGAACCAUAUGCUAAUAUGCACUACGGUGCUAUAAUAGGUGCGUGUUUAACCAACCCACAAGCUUUGGUUUUUCCUGCCCAAUCCUGUUUUUAGUUCGGAUUUUUUGGUGUAUGAAAUAUAACAGCUCGGAUUGAUUCGAUUCUGGUUUUGGGUUUUACAUUGAAGUAUUUUCAGAAAAUAUGAGGUUAUAGUCAGCUUAUGGUCGGGUUUUUGGCCUGGAAUUGGUAAAAUCGGAUUGGACACGACUAGGUCUUAUCUUGCUGAGAAAUUUAUGGGUUAAACGCAGGUGGGAUAGUGAACAACACACUGAGGCCGACCAUACCUAGCUACUGUGACUCGGACUGGCGAAUAUUAAUGGAGGAGUGUUGGGCGCCUAACCCAACAGCACGGCCAUCCUUCACGGAGAUAGCUGGUCGGUUACGUGUUAUGUCAACUGCAGCUACUUCAAACCAAUCCAAACCACCAGCCCACAAGGCUUCAAAGUGAAACAGAGUCGAUAUUUUAUAGGUUUUAUCUUUACUCUUUCCAAGUGUUUUGGACUUUUGGGGUCAGGAGGGAGAUAUUUGUUGACCCUUUUCUCCUUUCCCUUUUUUUUUCUAACGAAAACGAAAACAAAAUAAAUAAUAAAUUUGUUUUUUCUCGCCAGUGUGGAGAAGGAAAUAAGAUAGAUAUGUAAGAACUAAGAACGUUUCUUACCAAAUGUGAACAAUCGAGGUUCAAGAAAUAUAAGGGACUGGCUAAAUGUGAACAAAGUAAGAACAUUGGUAAACAUAGAUUCUUAGAGAUUUGCUGCUCAAAAUGCAGCUAAGAGAACAAAACUUGAAGAUGAUUUUAGUCAUCAAUUUUCUGUUGAUUUCUGCCUUUUGCUCCGUUUCUUAAGCAACCCUUUAUCCGCAAGUGUUUUACGUUUCAAUUUCCUUCGGUCUUUAACCUUGUCUUCGAAUCCAUUAUCUAGCAUCCUCAUCAUUGCCACCCUUUUGGCUUUUGAGACCUGCAGAUUCAGUUUUAGAAGUUUGGAUCAGUAAAACACGACAGGAUAUCACUCAGCAGCCAAUAACUGAUCUUACUCUUCUUAUAUACCCAGAUGAACUGGAACUUAGACACCAUUGCGAAGCAGCUGGUAUGACUCAGUAUUUGAUCAGAUUGAGCCAAAGAUAAAAGACGAGAACUUAGAUAUAUUACACUGCUAAUCUUACCUUUGUGACUUCUAAACUGUCAGUGAUUAUUUUGUUGUUGUACGGUUCCAUCUUUUUUCCAACUUCCUCUUCUAUUUUAUGGAUAAGUUUCACAUCGGUCUGCAAAAGGAUAUGUAAGGGUUUGGUUGUAAGCCCAACCAUGAACAACAAAACUUAAGGGUCGAUGUUUCAUGUGGUUCUGUGAUUUACUACUUUACCUCAGUGAUAAUGCUUACAGCCAGUCCUCCUCUACCAGCUCUAGCUGUACGUCCAACACGAUGAACAUAAUCCCUCGGAUUUCUGAUUUGAGCCAAAUGUAGAAUUAGAAUAUCAGUUAAACAUGAAAAGCACAGUGAAUUAAAGAAAAAGGAAAAUAUCAGCAAAAGGUACCUCGGAAUGUCAUAAUUGAUGACAAGGUCGACAGUAGGAAUGUCCAAUCCACGGCUGGCAACAUCAGUCGCAAGCAAUAUCGGUAUUUUCCCAGACUUGAAUUUACUUAGUGCAGAUAGUCGCAUAGACUGAGAAUUCAGAGAAUGCAUAGCUACAUUUUCCACUUCAAGCUCGUCAAGCAUAAGACUUAACCUUUGACAUGUUCUAAAACACGCAACAAUGUCUAGUCAGUAACUGCAAAUGGAAUCACCCGAUGAUAAAUGUUUUUUUUUUAAUAAAGCAGCUAUGAAUAUGAGACCUGCAAGUGGAGACAAAAAUCAUGGCUGAUCGAAUGCCCUUAUCUUCCAUUUGCGACAGUAUGUGCACAAGAUAUAGUUCUUUCGCAUCUUUGUCUUCGAAAAUGAACUGCUGCGUAAGAGUGUCAACAGUCUUUAACCCUUCAUAGGCUUCAUAGAAAUAAGCUUUGUUUGAAGAAUGUUCGAGCAAUGUCUGUAAGUUACUAGUCAUCGUAGCAGAGAACAACAAUGUUUGUCUACUCUUUGGCAGACACUGAAAGAUUGUCCGCAACUCGUCUUGGAAACCAACAUCAAGAACUCUAUCCGCCUCGUCCAGUACUAAGAACUAAGCAAGCAAACACAAAGUAAAGCUAAAAAUCAGUUAAACGCAGCAACUUCAGAUAGCUCUGAAUUUGAGAAUGUUCUUCUUUACCUUGGUUCUAGAGAAAACUGGAGGAACAUCAGGAUUGUUUUCAAGCAAAACCUUAAUUCUCCCAGGAGUAGUAAUAACGAUAUGAGGUCGUGAAACCAAGCUCCUCGUUUGCGUCAACAUAUCCAUUCCUCCCACAAUGACAGAGCAACGCAAAUUCAAACACGAACCCAAAGCCUUAAACUGCUCAGCGAGCUGGAACGCUAGCUCUCUAGUCGGCGUCACUACAAGCGCGAAGACUCCAUAAGGAUCUUCAGCGAGGCGGUGAAGUAUCGGUAGAGCAAACGCCGCCGUUUUACCACUACCAGUCUGAGCAAGCCCUAAAACGUCUCGCCCGGCCAAUAUCUUGGGCACGCAGUGAGUUUGAACUGGAGUGGGUUUACGCAUCCCAAGCUCUUUACACGUUUCCACUGCCCACUCAGCUAAUCCGAGCCCUUCGAAAUUAGCGACGGGACUAGGGUUGGGAUUUGUGAAUUUCUCAAAUUGAGGAGCAUUCUGGUCGGAAUCAAGUUUCUGAGACUGAAUUUGUACUACGGUUUUAGGAUUUUUGCGGGAUUUCGCCAUGAUUGUGAUUCCCCCUUCAUCCUCCGAUCUCGGUUCCUCCAUUCUCUUUGAAUCAGAAGAGAAAGAAAGUGAAGAAAUUGAUUCGGAGUUAUCGCCGGAAAAAUACGUUCGUUAGCCGCUGUUCUUAGAUUGUUCUGGAGAUGAUGUAUACACGCGUAAACUAGGGGAGUUCAAAUCCGGUUUAGCCAAACCUAAAUAAUAAACCGGAAAAUUAAACGAACCGAAGAUUUAAGCUUUUUCUAUCCCAUUUUAAUUUCGCGGUUUAUUUAGAAGAUUUGCUAACUUUGUUUGUACGAUGUUUUGCCUAUUUGAAGAUUGUUGUUACUCUUUUGAAAGAACCAGUAUGUAGUCAUUUGUUAAAUUUUCUACACAGUUAAUCAUUCAUCGUACAAACAAAAAAAGGACACGGAAAUUUAAAGACAAAAACAGAAACCGCAGAAAGGAAAUCUUGUGAUACAAACACACACGAAACCAAAGCUAAAUUCUUUAAUCUUCAUCAUAUGUGUAUUAAUAAACGUUGUCUCAUAGGAUAAUGCAGCUUCCUGAAUCCCUGAUGAGGAAACAGAGCCAUCAAAACCAAUCAUAAGUCAGAUUUGUUUUCUAUCAUAAAGUAAAAUGAAAUAGUUGCGGUUAUGCACAAUGAUACCUCUUCGACACUUCAUAGUAACUCAGAGCUUGCUCGAACUUGAGCCAGAGUGGACAUGAUGCCUCAAGAUCGACGUGGUCAGGACCGUUGAUAUAAGCUUGGACAAUGAAUUGAUUACUUCUCUGACUGCGUAUCACAUUGUUUGAAUCAGAUUGAUUAUGUUUUGACUAAGAUCUUGAUUGCAAAAUCAGGAUUUAUAAGUAGAGAGUUGGAGUUGGAAGCAUACCUUCCUUCAUAUUCCGAUAACCAAACCAAAUAGGCUACACCGAAGUACAUAGAGACAAAUGGUUUGGUCAAAUCGUCUGCUGAAUCGACUCUGUAUGCACGGUAUCCUAGCUCCCUUUAUUCAGAAAAACAGCCCCAUUUGGAUUUGAUAUAUGGUUUAAGACUUUAUAAUGCAAACUAUAGAAUAGAGAAACGAAGUUUGGUCACAAACUUACGAGUAUAACCAGGAAGCGGUUGAGUAGUCCACUCCGAGUAUACCUACAUGUUUCUUAGUACCGUUCACAAACCGCAUGCACACAGUAUCAGCAAUCGCACAAACAAGAGGCUGCAUCAGUGAUAUGGAACAUAUUUAUCAGAAUAGCAUAUGAAUAGACCCAAAAAGAUGCCCAAUAUAAGUUUCCUCAGCAAGUGAUAAUUAACAGAAAUGCACACUUACAACUCUAAUUCCUUUCGUGCUGAAGUACUUCGAAACAAUUAUUUCUGCAACAGCCUGAAAUAGAAAAUAUAGCAUUACUUUGAAGGCAACAUGGUGAGAACAAUGUUGGUUAUUUGUUCUGUAAAAGUGCUCAAUUAAAAGACAGACAGUACCUUAAGUUCCCCUCGAGAAAGGUAAGGCCUCUUUUCACCAUCUUGUGAAAAACGAACCUUUCCCCUUUCUUCUUUAGAUUUUGUCCACUCUUUACAUACUUCAGAAUGAUUCCACAUAUCUUCCAUAUCUUCAGGGGAAGCCCGAGAGUCCCAGUAUGUGAAAUUGGUGUCUGUUCAACCAGAGAGUAUAUUUCAUAUCAAAACUUAAAAGAGAAUGAUAGAGGUUCUCCAAAUAUGAGCAUACAGCUAAAGCAUUGGCACAUUGCACCAUGAUAUCCUAAUAUUUCUAGAGAUCUUAAUAUGUUUGACAUAGGUGCAUGUGUAUAAACGUAGAAACAUUAUUAUUUGAUACAGAACGAUAAAAAAAGAGGGAGAGAUUACUUGAGCCUGGUGAAGCGGGAUUCGUAGGAUGAAAGCUUGAAGGGCCAGCAUCGACAUGUUUUCUGCAACAACAAUUACCAAAGAGUUUUAGCUUCGCUUCUCUCAGCUUCUUUAUUAUAACUAUGAACAAAAAUAACAAUAUGAAAGCAUACGGUAACACAAAACCUUUUCCUUGAAACCAAGCAUAAAAUAUGACAGCAGAAACUAGGUACAAAGAGCAAUCAGAGAACAGAAACAACAACCUUGAAGGGAGACUUUCUUUCACUGCAAGGUAUCGUUUCCAAUAUGGCAAUGUCGACUUGUGAGUCGCCUUUUUUGUCCCACCAUUAUAUGCUCUGACAACAAACUCUUCACUUCUCUGGCUGCACACGAAAAGUUAAAAAUAUUGAAGUAAUUCCAGGAGGAAUUUAGACUUGUCGUCAUUGAAAUUGUAAAGGUAGCAAUGUCAGCUUAGGGACAAUAUAUCAUACUUAUUCUGAUAGUCUGUUAACCAUUUCAGGUAAGCUGCCCCAAAAUAUACAUUUAUAAAGGGCUUGUGAAGAAGAUCAGGAUUGUCAUCCACAUUAUAUGCCUGAUAGCCCUGGCCCCUGCAAGAAAGUUUGACCAAAACCGGAAUAUAAGAUUUUAUAAAUCUAAGAUCUUCUUGGAAAGGAGAGAAACUAGAAAUCGUUUUGUACCCAGCCAACCACGCUGCUGUCUUUUCGAAAACUUGUAAAAUUCCUAGGCCAGUUUCUUUGGUCUUUUUGUUGUACCUCAUAAUGAGAGGCUUGCGGUCACUUUCAAGCUCAGCAAUUGCGCAUAUCAUUUCCUGCAGAGGAAGAGGGAGAUGCAAAACUUCAAGAUCAGAAAGGGCAUAGAUGCAUGAUUUCAAUAACCUAAAAGAGUAGCUAAAACCAAGCUCAAAAGUGUUAGUUUUCUAAAGAACUGCCCACUUUGAAAAAUAAUGCUCUGAGUAAUUAUUACAGACCAACAAUCGAACAUGAAACUAUCAAUGAUGGGUGAAAAUGAAGCAUUACCAAAUCCAAGAUCGAAUCAAAAUGCCUCCGGACAGUAAUAUCAGCAACAGCCUGAGAAGGUAAGGGGUUGAUCAAUAAGUAGGCAGAAAGAAAGGUCUAACUAGGAUUCACGAAAGCCACAUCAAUCUUGUAUUGAAAUGUUUGAAAUCAAACGAAAACCAUCCGCAAUUUCUGUCAAACAUACAAGGAACUUUAUGUGAUUACCCUCAUCUCGGUCUGUGUAAGAUAAGGCUGUCCAUCAGGAUCCCUUGAAAGGUGAACCUUCUGGCCUUUAGUCUCUCCAACAUCAAUCCAUUCAGCACUGACCGCAGGAUCCAUCCACAUUUCUUCUAAAUCCUCUGGCUCAACACAAUCAUUCCAGAACGUGAAACUGUUGGCCAUUCUUGCAUUGCUAUACGACCUUUCCAUUGGCAUCUAUCACAAAGAAAAAUAAAAAGAGAGAAUUUACACGGAAGCAAUUAGAGAUUUCACAAGCACGACUAGCUAAUGGAAAGAGAGCAAUCUGAUGGAAGAAACAAGAGAAAAGCAAGUGGAAAUAGAAGACACAUCGUUUACAACAUCCAUAAGUAACAUGUUUGCCAAAGUUAAAGAAGAAAAUCGAAUUCUACACAUCAAAUACGAAGACGAAUCAACCGAUCCCGGAGAAGUCAUUCAGAAAAUCAAUCGGAAAACUAGGUAGUAGCAUGUCAACAUUGCUCAAACAAACUAAAACAAAGAGAAAUUUCGUGUGUAUGAGAGACCUUGCCGAAGGCAAAAAGCGCGAAGGACGAGAGGAGCAGAGGAACAAGGUUUCUCGGCGAAUCAGAGAGAAGAAGAAGAUGAAGAUUCAAAUUAAUCUCUGGGAAAUUCUAGAGAUACAGAGAAACCGACGGUUCGCCAUUUUUGACGGGAGAGCCAGAAAAGCAAAUUAAUCACACAGAGGGGACUGUGAGACGAGCCAGCUGCAGGAACAGCGAAGAAAAUGCCACGUGGCGUAUCGGAGCUGGCUCAGCCUCGUCGUCGUUUUAACAGUACAGUAGCCAUUUUUGGAGGGAGAGCCAGCUGGACUUGCCACCUGUCAAACUAGAUCAGGCCCAUUUUAUUUUGACGUGGCAAAACUUUACGUAACUCAAUAAACGACAAAAGAUACGUCAACGUUGUUCAAAUAUGACCGAAGGCCCACCAAAUCAUGGGCCUUGACGCUGAUCCCGUACACGCGGCUUUGUAGUUUUCCUCCGAGAAAUCUCAACCGUUAGAUCUCAUCGCAAAAGUAGGCUGCGACGCAUCGGAACACAGUCAUCGUCUUUGCAGAGUCGUAAGCAUGAAAAUAUUCUUCAAAAAUGAACUAAACAGUGUGCAGUUGCAAUUUGCAAUUUGCAAUUUUUAACUCAACAGAACAUUUUCUUGGCUCCACAGCUACACUCAAAAGCCAUUCAGCGGAAGGUUUUUGGCGGCGAGAUCUCUCUGUAUCUGGUAGCUUAGCUAUGGCCUUCUCUUCUCUCCUCAGAUCCGCCGCCACUUCCGCCGCAGCUCCUCGUUUCCAGCUUUAUCCAUCGUCAUCGUACGAUCAUUCUCAGGUAUUAAACGUUUUCGUUUUCUCUCUCUUGGGUUUAGCUUUGAAUUUUGAUCUGCUUCGCUUUUGUAUGUCCGUGUCGCCUGGAGUUUUAGUAGAUAGUAAGGAGGUGAUGUCUUGUUUUUGGUUCUGGUUUCAAUUUCUCAGUGUAAAGUCAACUCGUUGUUUUCUAUUUUAUCGCUAUCUUCUCUACUUGCGUCCUCACUUGUCGUUGAAAUAUUGAAUUCCUAGUCGUUUGCCCUGAGUUAUUAUUUGAUUGAGAAGCUGAAUCGAUGAUAGGAAGCAUUAAAGUUUCAGUGGGUUUAUUAUAUCUUUUGUCUCAUAUGAUCAGGUCACGUCAAGUCUUGGAUUCACUCACAACCUGGCCUCGUCUAGAUUUUCUGGUGCUGCAGUUUCAACUGGGUCAUCUUCAACUUUACAGUUCUGUGACAAACUCUGUAGUACAUGUAAAUUUCUUACGAUGCUUGCCUUGGUUCCUAACGAUGUUUUAUGUUCUAAUGUACAGAAAAUGCAAUGCGAAGAGCGUUCAACCCAUCAAGGCCACAGCUACAGAAGCACCUCCUAUUGUUCAUAGUAAGUAAAAAAAAUUAAUUGAUAUUCUUACCUGUGUUUGUUGCUGCACUCUUACAGCUAACUUUGAUUUGGUUGACUUGUAUAGGGUCAAGGAGCAGUGGAAAGACAAAGGUUGGGAUCAACGGUAUGUUUUUUUUCUUUCCAUUGUUGGAUUCAUUGUGAAAUUCAACAUCAUAAGAUAGUCUCUAUGCCUUCAUUCCUUCUGACAUGCUUCUAGUUCUCUACAUUUUCAUUUCUUAUUGAUGGUUGUAUUUUUAUGUGCGGGACAGGUUUUGGUCGAAUUGGAAGGUUGGUCCUCCGCAUCGCUACCUUUAGGGAUGAUAUUGAGGUUGUAGCAGUCAACGAUCCAUUCAUAGACGCCAAGUACAUGGUAAGGAUGAUGACUAUCUUAUCCAGUAGUAGAUGCAACUUACAAUGCCAUUUUGCUCUUACUAUUUUUAAGUCUAUUUUUAGCCAGGAAUUUCUAUAACUGUUUCUUAUGCUCUCUUCCCAUUUAGUUUCCCUUACUCAUAGUAACUGUUCCGCGUGCUUGAACCCAUAUAGUAAUCGUAUUAAGAGGCAUGGAUAUAUCAAACUAAAAGCAAUUCUUCUCUCCCCUCUUCUGCAGGCUUACAUGUUCAAGUAUGAUUCUACUCAUGGAAAUUACAAAGGAACCAUCAAUGUAAUUGAUGAUUCUACUUUGGAGAUCAAUGGAAAACAGGUCAAAGUUGUCAGCAAGAGGUAUUGCCUCAAAAUGUUGACUCAUGUGUAUCCGUCUAGUAUUGUCAAAUUAGGAAUCAAUAUCCAUGAUUUUCCUAUUGGUAGGGUAUAAAGCUUAUCCUUUUAGAGUCUGACAUCUUAUUGAUUCUUCCUCAGAGACCCAGCUGAAAUCCCGUGGGCUGAUCUUGGAGCUGAGUAUGUUGUUGAGUCUUCGGGGGUAUUCACCACCGUUGGACAAGCUUCAUCACAUUUGAAGGUUUGCACUUUCACCUGAACACACUUGUUGAUCUACUAGUUCCAUUGAUGUUAACAUUUAAUAGCAGGCCUUAUAUUUUUAAUUCAAACAAUCAUCUGCUAAAAUGGUCUAUGGUUUUCUUGACCUUUCAUUGUCUCUGCAGGGUGGCGCCAAGAAAGUCAUCAUUUCUGCACCUUCAGCGGACGCGCCCAUGUUCGUUGUUGGAGUAAAUGAGAAGACAUACCAACCUAACAUGGAUAUAGUCUCCAAUGCAAGCUGUACCACCAAUUGUCUUGCACCUCUUGCCAAGGUUUGUAACAUUGCAUUUUUGUCCUAUAUAUAGCUUGUUAUGUAGAACUUCAUUAAGGUCAAAUAAAAUUGUCUAUGGCCCUUAACCACUUGUAUCUGGUAGGUGGUGCAUGAGGAAUUUGGAAUUCUUGAAGGCUUGAUGACAACAGUCCACGCGACCACAGGUCUUUGAUUCUUGUGCCCUCUUGUUAUAUGUCACUGUAAAUCACUGAACUGACGAGACUAAAUGAUGUGUUUUGUUUAUCUUCGCAUUUGAAUAUUCAGCUACUCAGAAAACUGUGGACGGCCCAUCAAUGAAGGACUGGAGAGGAGGCAGAGGCGCUAGUCAAAACAUCAUUCCUAGCUCAACCGGCGCUGCAAAGGUACGCAAAAUCAUACAGUUAUAUACAAAGCAUCGCAUCUGGAAUCAUAUUUAAGCCAUGCCUUUUUUUUCUUGUCUAAAUAGGCUGUUGGUAAGUUCCUUCCGGAACUCAAUGGAAAACUAACGGGAAUGGCCUUCCGUGUCCCAACACCAAAUGUUUCUGUUGUGGAUUUAACUUGUCGACUUGAGAAGGAUGCAUCUUAUGAAGACGUUAAGGCAGCCAUAAAGUAUUACUCUCAAAACUCUGUUCAACUAAUUUCCCGUAACAUUCUCUAUAUAUGAAUAAAACAUGGAACUUGUAAUAACCUCUCAUGAAUUUGAUUUAAAAUCUCUAACAGGUUUGCAUCAGAAGGACCACUUAGGGGCAUUCUUGGAUAUACAGAAGAAGAUGUCGUCUCUAAUGAUUUUCUUGGAGAUUCAAGGUAUGUCACUCUUAAAUCUUGUAGCGGAUCAUUUAAAAUCUAGUGUUGGUUCUCAAAUGUUGUGGUCAUUGUCAAAAAAUUUCAGGUCAAGUAUCUUUGAUGCUAAUGCUGGGAUUGGAUUAAGCAAGUCCUUCAUGAAACUUGUCUCCUGGUAUGACAACGAAUGGGGUUACAGGUAACAGUUACUCUCUCUCGGUUCUUUACCAUCACAUUGCCAUUUGACAAUACCCAAAUACUAAAAUAUGUGUGGGUCUUGUAAUGUCACAGUAACCGAGUCCUUGACCUGAUAGAGCACAUGGCGUUAGUUGCAGCCAGCUGCUAAACCAUGCCGCUUUCUUGCAGAAGCCAAUGCAAAUUUUUUGUUAUACUAACUACUAAGAAAUAUUGUUCGUUACUUCGAGAGAAAGAUGUUCCUUAAAAAAAAAAAAUAGCUAAGUAAAAAGAUUGGUUUUCAAAGAUUGGAAUUUUCCGGUUAGCUUCAAUAACUCAUCUCUACGUUAUGAAUUAUUCGAAAUUGUGACAGUGAACCAUCCAUGACCAUGACUCCAUGAUGGUUAGCAAAGUGUCAUUAAGGACUUACGACAAUUAUCAUGUAAGCGAGGUUAUUGGUUAACUUUGCACAACGUAAUAUAUGAUGAAAUAGUGACGUGACAUCCACUUUUAGGCAAAAUUAUCUGAUACUCCGAUAUAGGAAUUUGUUAAUUAAUAACACGAUGCAACAUAUCUAAAAAAAAAACCACUCAGAGAAAAUGCUCGUAUAAAGAGGAAAAGUGUGAGUAAACAAAAGGCACAAGGGGACAAAAGCAUUUUUGCAAUCGUGGGAAACCACUUUGAUCUAAACAAAUGUGGACGUAUUAUUUAAUCAUUCCUUAUCAUAAUCCAAAAUGUUAAUAAAAACAUAUCUUGAUAUAACGUGGCCGUAUAGAAAACCUUUUAAGAUGAAGGAAAGAGUAAUGUAAAAGAAUUGGUAUACAUACUCCUUGUGAUUUUAGACCACGCCUUUUUGCAUCACUAGUGAGUAAUGACCACCUACUUCGCCAACUCAACAACAUAUACGAAUACUUAUUUAAAUGGUUUUUUCCGAUUAUGUGCACAUUUUUAAAAACAGAAGACAAAUGUAUUUCGUGUACCUAUCUUGAAUAAAUACCAUGUUCCUUAACAAAUUUAAAAAUGAAAAUAUCAUACAUGGUAUUAUACCCAUUCAACACAGCUAAAUUUUCUAACUAAAGUAUGUGAUUAUAAUAUUGACUAAGAGGGGUUAUAACUUUCCGGCGUUUUUGUUAGUAAAUGUUAACAAGAUUAUUUCUUCCUUGUAAAAAAGGAAUGAAUUAUUCAAAAUAAAAUAUUUUUGCAUUUGACAUUUUUGUUUUCCAAGAGUUUUGUGUGUGACUCAUAUGCGGCUUAACUCCUCCUAUAUUUUCUUCAAACAAGCAACAUUGUUUUUGUUUCUCUCUCUCUUUCUCUUUCUCACAACUUCCCUAGAAACACUUUUUUCGGAAUUCGAACGCAGAGAGAUCGGAUAAUGGCGACGGAGCAUAUAGUCCGUACGAAAGACGAAUACAAUGUCGAGCUUUUACCUAGUGACGACGAUGCGCCGCCGCUUCAAUCGUCUUGGCGUCUCAACCUCGAAGCUUUUCAACUUCCUUCUUCACCACCUUCCUCCAUCGGUGGCCGUCACGACGCUCGUACUCGCUUUUCUCGCUAUUUCCGUACUCCCAGUAAGACUCCUUCCAUCAUGUUUUCGUUUUUUUUUUUUUUUUUUUUGUGAUCUGUGCUCAAUCCGUAAAGUGUCGAUGUCUAUAGACGUGUACGUAACAUGAUCAUCGACCAUGCCUUUUGAAUUGUGUACGAAAACAGAGAAAAAGUGAUUAUGCAAAUGUGUAAUUGUUGAAACUUGUUCGGAAAAAUAAAGUUUCGAAAUUAACCGAAAUCGCUUCAAGUAUAAAUUAAGAGUAAAUGAUACUCUCUGUUUAAAACCCUUUCUAUUGAUUUGAUUCAAGCGAGUAUUUAACUUUUUUCUUUUUGUUGAUUCAAAGUUAUUAAGCUUUUGAUGGAAUCUUAAGCUUCUCUUUUAGAAUUUGUAUAUGCCAGAUUCUCUGUUUUAAAAUUAUGUGGAUACUGAAUGAUUACUGAAUCAGAUUAACCUCAGAUGUUUUAAGGCGUUUUAGAGUGAUUGAGAAACUGGUAAACCCAUCAAGGUCGACUAACACAUUGUUAAAUCUUGAAAAAGGGUUUUAACUUUGAACCCUCCUCUCUGCUGUCUUAAUGCAGGAAAGGAACGUAGAGUCUCUGAAUACUACAAGAAGCAAGAGAGGCUCCUCGAGGGUUUCAAUGAGAUGGAGACUAUCCACGAAACUGGUUUUGCAUCUGGUGUUCCAACUGAGGUCUGCCCUCUACUAUUUUUCUUAUGGUAUGUCUCUUUGAGAUGAAUCCUCAAUCUUUCUUGGUUUCAACAGGAAGAAAUGAAGAAGCUUGCAAAGAGUGAGAGGCUGGCAGUUCACAUAUCGAACGCAACAAAUUUGGUGCUUUUUGUGGCAAAAGUUUAUGCCUCUAUGGAAAGUAGAUCCAUGGCUGUGAUUGCUUCAACUUUGGACUCUCUCUUGGAUCUCUUGUCUGGUUUUAUUCUCUGGUUUACAGCUAAUGCCAUGAGAAAACCAAACCAGUUUCACUAUCCUAUCGGAAAGCGCCGGAUGCAACCUGUGGUAUGUUUCUUUUGUUUUUAUCUAUUAACCCCUUUGUUUGGUUUUUGUUCUGAUUCCUCUCUGAUCAGUUUCUUCUACGAACUUACUUGUCUCCCAAGAAAAUAGAACUGAUAAUGUAAAUUUACAGGGCAUCAUUGUGUUUGCUUCGGUGAUGGCAACUCUUGGACUGCAAGUUUUACUAGAGUCAGGAAGGCAACUAGUUGCCAAGGUACAUUACUUUUUUUCAGGUAACUGCUUUCAUCGGUUAUUUGAUGUAUGUAACCAAUUCUGUUUUUGUUACAGAGUGGUAUUCAUAUGAAUAGCACAGAGGAGAAAUGGAUGAUCGGGAUCAUGGUCUCUGUCACCAUUGUGAAGUUUCUUCUAAUGCUAUAUUGCAGAGGAUUUCAGAACGAAAUCGUUAGGGCCUAUGCUCAGGAUCACCUCUUUGACGUUGUCACUAAUUCAAUCGGCUUAGCAACAGCUGUCUUGGCCGUCAAAUUCUACUGGUGGAUUGAUCCCUCCGGUGCUAUACUUGUAAGUAACUCAGGAAUCUAAAAUGAUCAAGAAAUGUCUCAUGGGAUUUGACAAACGUUUUUUUUUUUUUUUUGUCUUUUUAAUGGUUGCAGAUUGCUUUGUACACCAUAGCAACAUGGGCAAGAACGGUACUAGAGAACGUCCAUUCGCUGAUCGGACGCUCUGCGCCGCCAGAGUUCUUGGCGAAACUGACAUUCUUGAUAUGGAACCAUCACGAACAAAUCAAGCAUAUUGACACAGUAAGGGCUUACACUUUUGGGUCACACUACUUUGUGGAAGUAGACAUUGUUUUGCCAGAGGACAUGAGACUACAAGAGGCUCACAACAUCGGAGAGACUCUUCAGGAGAAGCUCGAGCAGCUUGCUGAAGUAGAACGAGCUUUUGUCCACAUAGACUUUGAGUUCACUCAUCGUCCUGAACACAAGUGUAACUAGAUUUUUAAGUAAAUCUUGUAGGGUAUAAUUAGUUCUUUAGUUUAUGUAUUCUUCGUGUCGUUUUAUCUAUACAUAUACAGUAGUAGAUGGAAAUCGAAAUGUGUCGUUGAACGUUGUGCCGUCUCUGUUUAUGGAAUGCGCAUUGUGUGUCGUUUGAAGCUAAUUGACGACAUUAAUAUCGUUUCAUUCACCUGUGUGUCGUUUGAAGCUAAACUCAAAAUAAAGAUAAAAUCAUAAAAAAAUAAUGGGUUUUAAAUUAAAACCACUCAAAACUAAAAGUUGGUUUAUCUAUCUUCCGACAAAGUUCCGUGCUUGAUUGCUCUUACUCCACGAGACAAUUUCUCUGGCUCAGAAUCGUCGCCAUGAAAAUGUAAGAAGAAACAAAGACGAGCUCUCAAAUCCAGCAGCCAUGGCUUUUCUUCUUCCUAAUCUAUCGUCUCCCUCAAUCCAUCUUCAGACCGGAAAAUACCCAAACCAUAAACCCAUUUUCAGUCAAUCUCUAUCGUCGUCGUCGUCUUCUGUUAGCUACGAAUUCGUGGAAGAUAAUAUAUCGACACACUCUCUUUUGAGCAUCCAGUCUCCUCCUCUUAAAGACACGCAGGUUCAGACAAGACACAGUUCGCAAGAUAAGCAUAAUAACCACGACAGAGAUGAAUUCUAUAUCAAUCUUGGUGUCGCUGUCCGUACGCUUCGCGAAGAUUUGCCUUUGCUCUUCACUAGAGAUCUUAAUUACGACAUCUACAGGUAAAUUUCCUCAUUUGGGUAUUUGAUAAUUGAAUGAUAAUGGGUGAAAGGAAGAAUCUUUGGAUGCUAUCUUCAGAAUUUUAUCAUUUGAUUGUGAAUGUUUCUCCGAGAAUUCAAUUCAGAAUCUUUGUUUGUUUGACAGGGAUGAUAUAACAUUUGUGGAUCCGAUGAACACAUUCAGUGGGAUUGACAACUACAAAUUGAUCUUCUGGGCGCUCAGAUUUCAUGGGAAGAUAUUGUUCAGGGAUAUCUCACUUGAGAUCUUCAGGGUAUGGCAACCAUCAGAGAACAUGAUUCUCAUCAGGUGGAAUCUCAAGGGUGUGCCUAGAGUUCCAUGGGAAGCUAAAGGAGAGUUUCAAGGCACUUCUCGGUAUAAACUCGACCGUAAUGGCAAAAUCUAUGAGCAUAAAGUCGAUAACUUGGCCUUCAAUUUCCCUCAACAGCUCAAACCCGCAGCUUCGGUUUUGGAUUUGGUGACUGCUUCUCCUGCAAGUAGUCCCAAUCCAACGUUCUUUUUCAGUCCUGUGGACUCUUAUUCAUCUUCAUGGAUUAGGUUUUAUCAAGUGGUGAGAGGGACAUUGGAGACAGAGGAUAUCUUUGUGACAGACAGUUUACUCACAUGCACAUAGUGGAAGUAGAGUUGUUAUACACAUACUCAAGGUCACACUUCUCAGGUGUAUAUAGUUUUACAUUGAAGGUUUUAUAUAUAUGAGUAGAUCUGGUUGAUUUAAUUCUUGGGAAACCUAGAACUGUUAUGUUGUUCCAAAAGCUUUAUACAACGUAAUCAAUACAAUGGAGUUUUGUCUUUAUGAUUAUGUGAAACAGUAAUAUUACUCAGUGGUUAAACUCACAGAAACAAAACAACACACCUAAUUAAGAAUCACCAUUAGCCUGAGUUUUCUUAAUAUCCGGCUAGAGUCCAUGUAGAUGCUGUAUCUCCCUGCAAUUUCCAAGUAAGAAUGAACAAGAUCAGUUAAAUAGAGAAAGCGAACAGAAAACAAGUUUCCAGCUACAUGAACAUAUGUAUAGAUAUACACCUUUAGACUGGUGAGGCAUGCCAGGACUUUUGUAGAGUUCAACUUAGAGAGGGAGUUUAUCCAAGGGUUUCAAGACUGCGACAUUACUGUGAUCUGGAUUCAUGUACUUCUCAUAAGUGACCCUCAGUUUUCCUGUUUUAGCAGCUUUGUGAAACCUUAAGACCAUGUCAGAACAAUCCCUGUGAUAAGAAAAUUGUGUACGAUUAGUUACAGAAUCUAAUUAGUCUAAGUGAUCUACAAGGUGGAGUUAUUAAUGAGACUGUUACUUCAUCUGGGAGACAUUGUAGUGGGUAUGGUUGUUUAGGAGCGAGGUCCAAACUGGAGUCAUAUGCAAAGUGCAUCGGGCAACAUAUAUGGCUGAUGCACAUAGCAAUGAUGGCUUAUACUUCAAAGCUUCGUACUCCACCAAGCACAACUCGAUAAGGUAGAAGGCGAGUUGUUCAAGCUGAAAAAAUUAAUAAUAGUAUUCAAUGACUACCUAUUCAAGCAGGUUAAUUUUAUAGGAUAUAAAGCAUUCAGAUGCAAGUUUUUCGCGUACCUUCUUAUUUGAUUGAGCAGCUUUGAGGAACCUCAACAUGAAAACAUAGGGGGUGGGUGCAUUCAAACGGAACUUUAACUGUUUAAGCAUAAUCCUCUCCUGAAAAGAAAAAAAGAAGAUAAAUUACAAGGGUAAAUAUGCAAACGACCAGAGAUUGUUAAAAAGAAUAAAGAAGUUGACUAUAAACAGAGUUCGUUAUAUACCAUUCCCAAGAUUUGUUCUCUGCUGUAUGAUUCUGCGGAUAUGCUAAUCAAGUCUUUGAUCUGUACAUGGACAAAGAAAAUAGAUUCUAAAAGUUUAAGGGUGACGCUAUAUGGAGCUAAGCAGAGGUAUUAGCUUUCAGGAUAAUUGUCUCUUACCCUAGGAUGCCAAUAGUCCUCAUAUUUAGAUGCCAAUAAGAGUGCAGUAAGACCAAUCAAUUGCAUCUCAUUUUUAUGUAUUGGAACUUGGGAGAGGUAACGGUCUAAUAAGUCCAUUGUCAGGUAGAGAGUCUCAUGCAUUAGAUCAAAUUUGAAAUGAACCUGCAAACAAAUAAGUAAAACCGAGAUAUAGGUUUCCACAUGGAGAAGCAAAACUUUGAGUAGGGAAAUAUCAAGUUGAAAUGGAAACAAAAAAUUUACUGCACUCACUUCGAUAAGCCAGUUGAUCAAAAUUCCACGCGUAACUGGACUGACUUCUGCAUGAGCUGACAAGUAGUAUCCCAAAGCUGGAUUUAACGCCUGCAACAAUAUUUCACACUAAGCUAUUGGAAAGCUAAAAUUCAAUAUUCAAAGCUAUAAGGAAAAAGAAAAAAUGAAUAUAAGGGAAAGUGAAGUUGUAUGUAUGUGGAAUAAUAAGUGGAAUACCUCUGCAGUCCAAUAGAACUGAUAUAUGUCAUCCACAUAUUCUGCAACUUCCAACUGAUUGGAUUCAUCAUCAAUGUUUGGAAGUUUCUCUGCCUCUGUGGUUUCACCAUUUUUCUCAUCCAACUGCAAGUAAAUUACCAAAUUAGUAAUAUUGGAGAAAAAGAAGUCACAAGAAACACAACAAAUCAUAAAAUUACGAACCUUUGAUCCAUUUACUAGUAGAGAUGUGAAAGACUUUCUACGCUUUGAUUUUGGCUUCGCUGCAACAUCCAACACUUUUGUUGUUGGGUCUUUGUUUCUACUAGAUGAACUCUCUCCUUGAGUGUCUUCUUCGAGACAUUUUGUUUCAACCUUUUUCGGAAGUGACAGCGUUAAGGCAACUAUUUCAGAAGAAGGGAUUGAAGAAAUAGAUCUUGAUUUACUUCUACCCACUGGGGGCUUCUUAAGAGAACUACGGUUUUGUAGCGACGUCUUUACAGUUGUCUGGAUCUUGAAUAAGAGAGAAAGCUUAUCACAUAUUUAAUAAACAAAAAACCUCAAUGUGACUGUAACUAUUGCCAGAUGAAAUGAACUGAUUUAGCAGUUCAAUGAUGAUAAUAGCCAAGGCCAAAACAUUUUUGAGAGACUUCAAAUAGUGUGGCUAUAAUGGAAAUAAACCACUUGCAUGCAAAGAUACGAAACUAAAGGUAUAUACCUUGAUAGAUUUCCUUACGAUACGGACGUUAUUCUUACUCUGUCUGUUGCGGUCCCUGAACAUGCAAAGAAAAUAAACUUCGCAAGUUAUAUCUCAAGUUGCUGCCCACAAACGAUAAAAGAAAAAAUAAUCUGGUUCUCGAAGAUGUAAAAAAGUCGUACAUUGAAUCAUUGAUAAUGAAAAUGCAAACAAGGAUUCUAUGAAUUUAGACAAUUUGAUAGUUGGAAGAAGACAUGUGUGAUGUGCAAGAGAGAAACAACUUCAUUUCUUUAAUGAUGAUAUCAGAAUUAAGCACAUUUACUUACGAUGGUAUAGAGCCGACGCUUGUCCGAGUUUUCAAAGUAUAGGUUCCGGCACUCCUCAGCUGUGGGACAGCUUUAUUGCUGACUUUACUAGCUGAAACAAUGCAACCUCACUCAUAUUAGAUACUGAACCAAUCAAAUUAAAAUUUUAAACAUACAUAUUUCCAUCAGAAGUUUAGAAAAGAAAUCCAUGUUACCUAGACCCUGACCCAAUUGUUUUGAAUUUAAGCUUGAGACAUUGAACUGCGUCAAAAUAGUAAAAAUCAGGGUAAAAAACAGUGAGUAGAGAAAUACACAAUUAAGUAAACUAUCCUAAAUGAUUAGCGUCACGAGUUGUUGUAAAACCAGCUAACUAUAAGACAAAAACAUCUCAAAUUAGAUUGAUAACAACCUUUUUUAAGCUCUUAUCAGUGAGGCUUGUUCUCUUUAAAGUUGGUAAGGAAUUUCUGCAAGAACAAAUCAAUCAAGGAAGUUAAUCAAUGAAUGAUGUAAAAUCAUUCUCAGCAGAUACUAACGUAGGUUACGUGAUGAGAGCUUUGACAUAUUGAUAGGGAAUGUAGGGCAUAAACAAAAUAUCUAUUUUUGUUUUUUUUUGGAAAAUUCUUCAAACUGGUCAGGAAGCUGAUAAUCAAUCUAUUAUGCAUGAGAUUAGCACAAAGGUACCUUGUUCCACCAGCCGUUGAUCCAAGGCUCAGGGUUUUGUUUAUGAUGAAUUUCUGACCUAAAAUAUGAUUUAAAACUUCCGAAUUUUAGAUAAACGGUAAAGAUCAACUAAAGCCAUAGACAUGAAAACAAACAUAACAUUUAGGAAGUCACCUGUCUUGCAAGGGUUAUUGUUUUCAAGUUCGGUUGUUCUUUUACUCUCAAGCUCCUAUAUCAGAAGAAAAAUAAAACAAUAAUCAAGGCUUGCGAGAAAGAAGAAGGAAAUGGCCAUCGAGUUGUUUAACUAAUUAAAAUCCCAUGCUUUAAGACACAUACAACGUUUGUGAUAUUUGCUGUAACUCACAUGCAGACAGAUAAAUUGUGAUAUUCUGGUUAAUCUCAAAACUGCAUCUAGUCAUAGAAAUUUGCAAGUAUACAACAUGAUAUAGUUUGGCAAUACGGUUACUAUACCUUGGUUGACUUUUUCACAGAAAUAUUAUUAACUCUGGUUGAACCAACUGAAAUCCUACACAUGUAAAGGUCAAAUUAGCCCAGCAUCAUCAACUCAUUGUCAAAAAUCAGGUAUAAUAUACAUGGAACUGUGAUUCGUUCUGUAAAAGCUCAUCGAUAUGUAACGAUAUUGUAUGUAUGUGACGUCUAUAGCAUCAGCUAACGAUUACUACAUACCUUUGUGAAUUUGCACAUUUUACACCUUUCCAUUUCCUGCAUGGUUGCAUGUUCAAUAGAAUAGUUUUAGAACAGAAAAAAAAUCAGUACAAUAAAAACUAACUAAGAAAUAUGUUUUCUAAACAUAAGAUCAGUUUGAUUAAGAAGUGAAGACCAUGGGCAGUUUAUCAUUUGUUUCCAAGAGAGAUCAUAAAAACCCUUAAGAGUUAAGCAAAUUACAUGGUACUGCUGCCACAAAGCGUUGGAAUCCUUAGAGGGUUCCCACCAAGAUUACUUAAAUCAGCCAAAGCUUUUCUUGUGACUUUAGUACAUUCCUCUGAAAGGAGGCAAAAAUUUGAGUUAACAUUCAAAACUACGUCCAGAAAAUGUAAUGAAGAAACUCUCCAGUAUAAGCUUACCCGCAUUUUCAAUACUGAUUUCGCCCUUUCCUGUGAUUCUCGAAUUUUCCUUCUUUUCAAUCAAAACAAAAAUGCAUUAGCAUGUGAAAAAGUGCAUAACAUUCAACACUUGUAUGAACUCAGAAAGAGGUAAAAGGAUAAACCUUCAUAUUGUUUGUGUUAGAAGCUGCUCCAUUGCUAAUUGUAACAGACUUUCUCCUAAAAAAUGUAAAAGCAGAAAACUAAUUUCUUACAGACUCGUAAAGUCUACUUCUUCAUGAUCAAGCCAAAUAUGCACCAGUAAAUUCAUCAUUUAAUAGACGUAUGUAAGAAACAGAAAAAUUGUAAAACAACAGCACAAACCUCAAAGGAAUACGAGUCUUCUGCGAAGUAACUCUGCAGAAAUAGCAACAGUUAAAUUCAGAUUAACAAAUGCAAUAGUACUGAAAGAUGAAUGUAAGAGAUGCACUUACACUGUACCCGCUGGAUCAGUUUUCUGAUUAUCAGAGAAGAUUUUGAAACUCCUAGGGCCCACUAUUUCAGAUAUAAACAUUUUUAGAUUUUGAAUUAUUUUUGCUUAAGACUGAAUAAGAUUCACCAAGUAACAGAGGAUAAAACAGUCUCCCUUACCUCGAUUUCCAAGAAUAUCAUCUCUACUUAGUCGUGGUGCCUACAAGAAAAAAUCAAUAGUAAGUGAAAUAAGAACUAAAGCUUUAUCACCUGUGAUUUUUUAAGAUUAUGUUGAUCAAAUUAAUCAAAUCUGAGAGUAGUAUAAGCCAAUGAAAUCACAAGAAUCCAAUCUUGUGGUAAAAGAAGCAGAAAUCGGCAAAAAUCAUAAUCUCUUCUAUCUGCAAAGAAAUUCAAGAUCCCUAAUCCUAAUCUCGUUUAAAAUAACAAGCCCUCGAAUCUCAAACUCAUCUGCGAUGAAACGUAAUAACUAAUAACCCUAACUCGUUUUUUGAACAAAAUCUUGAUGAAAUUAGGAUCUUCACGAAAAAUUCUUUACCUUUGCGAACGCCAUUAUCCUUAAAUCUCCAGAUCUUCUGCUUUGUUCUUCCCAGAAACUCAAUUGCAAGAGAGUUCUACCGUUGCAAAUUCCCAGACACUGAGCGACGCCGCUUCUCAAGUAUUUGAAAUUGAGCUUAUGGAAUUUACGUUUAUGGCCCUUCACUUCAUAGUUAUUUUCUAUUUUUGUUUGGGCUUGUUUAACCCAAGCCCAUUCGUUACCAACCUAGGGCAUAUCAGACCCAUCAACCUAUUAUUCGGAAAAAAAGAAUGAAAAAAACAUUGUUAUUUGCAUUUUGUUAUUGUGCAAGUGCAAUUAAUAAUGCAUUAUGUAAGAAGUUCAAAGAAAAGACUUAUAUAAGUUCAGGUAUAGAAACUGUAUUUUCUGUUGACAUAAAAAGUAAAUAAAUAAUUUAACUUCUAAUUGUUGUUUAUUUCUUCUCAAAUAAAAUAAAUAAAUAAAAGGGUAUCUAUAAUCUGUGACCAUAGAAGAAUGAAUAAUUAGUUCUCUCUUCGUUACUAUUUGGCAUUCACUGUCCAUAUGUAAAAUACAAUAUCACCCUUGAUUUAUUUAUUCAAUGUUUUAUCUCUCUUCUUCUAUUUCUUUCUUCUUCAAACACCAGAACACAACUUUAGUAAUGAAAAUUAAAUCAGACUUUUUUCUGCAGAGAACCGAAAAGCAAAACCAAUAAUUUGUGUGGUUCACCUAUGACAAUAGUGCUUUUGAUUUAGCGAUGAUGAAGAUAAGGGAAGUUUUUGUUUUGUGUUUUUGCGAAGGUUGGUUAAGUUUCUGCGAUAAAAAAUAAUGGUAAUUGAUGGUGGUUCUGAUUUGACGAUGAUGAGAUUUACCGGUGAUGAUGCUAACAAUGACAUUGUUGGUGGCGGUAAGUAUAGAAAAAAGAAGAUGAAAGAAGAACUGAGAAGGUGUGAUGGCUAAAAGUUGUAUUGUGGUGAUGAUGAUAAUAUCUGUUGCGGUAAUUACGGGGGAGAAAUGGAUGGUGUCGUGAAGUUAGAACAAACAGAGUGGUGGACUGAGACAGAUAUGAAAACUGAAUUUGUCAAUUGUAGUUUAGAUUAGGUUAAUCGAUGAAAAGAAAGGAAUCGUCGGCGUCAUUGGCACAUUUUUCUGGGUUUGAUUUUACUAUAGUUAUCGAUAAAUAGAGUAACAUCUGUUAUUUUUAUUGUUAUCAUGUUAACAUCGUUAUACACGUUAAUAUAAAUAUUAUCUAUAUAUCUACUAUCUUACCAUAAAUAUUUUCUAUGAUAAUAUAAACUUUAUCAUAUCAAUUACAAAGUUACCGCGAUACAAUAUGUUUAACACGAUAUAUUUAUAAACUUAUUGAUAUAUAUAUUUUGUUAUCGUGUUAAACCAAUAGAUAAUCAUUUAACUCAUUAGAUAUUCUUACUCAGAUAUUUGAUGGACAAUCUAUUUAAAAUCAAAUAAAAAACGUCGAUAACUAUUUUAUUAUAUUGUUAAUUAAUUUGUUAUAUGCGGAGGGGCAUUUUUGUCCAACUUACAGAAGUUGAGGAGAGAGAACUAAUAAUAUAAAAACUAUGGGUAUAUUUUUUAUUUUCUGGUCAAUUGUGGUUUAAUAUUUUGUUGACCCUAAAUAAAAACUCUGACAUUUGAUAUUAGGCAACAUCAGCUACUUUGAAAAUACAUUAGUAGCUGUGGAGAGAUGUAUUUUGCCAACUGCCAACUAGGCCUAGGCAUAUUACCCGAACCCGUAGAACCGAACCGAAUCCGACCCGAAAAACCCGAUCCGAAUCCAAAUCCGAAGUUUUAAAAUACCCGAACGGGUUCUAAACUUCACAACCCGAAAAUCCGAACCCGAACCCGAUCCGAACCCUAACCCGAACAAGUACAUGAACAUACCCGAAAUAUAAGUACAUAGAUUAUAAUAUAUUAGUAAUAUUUAUACUUGUAAAAAUUUAAGUGCCUAAAUUAUUUGGAUGCUAAGAAUUUUUGGGUGUUUUAGUUACUUUUGGCUAGAUUCGGUUAAAAAAUAUUUGGGUUUUAUAGAUUUUUGAGUAUUUUUCAAUACUUUGCAAAGAGUCGGAUACAAAAUUUUUAAUAUUUGGAUACUUCGGGUAAACCCGAAUCCGAACCCGAAAUAUCCGAUCCGAACCCGACCCGAACCCGAAGUUUUAAAAUACCCGAACGGGUCUUAGUUUUUUAUACCCGAAAAACCCGAACCCGAAAAACCCGACCCGAACCCGACCCGAAUAUCCGAACGCCCAGGCCUACUGCCAACAAACAAAUAAUGCUUAUUGCUCCGACAAGAUUGAAGUAUUAUCAAGAAGGUGUAGUUGCACCCAAAGUGACGUGCUCGACCUGCAAAAUGCAGAAAAGAAUCUGCAAAUGAUGAGAAAACGAAGAGAGUUCAUCAUUUCUAUCUUGAUCUAUCGGUCUCUCGCCUGGCUAAUACACCCUUUGAUUCUAAUCACGAUAAGGCGUGAGAUCGAUUUGGAACUGCUGUUUCCCCUUUGUGACACUCUGCAAAGAUGUCAUAAGGGCCAAUGUUACAACAAAUGGAAACAGAUUGAAAUUUUAUGGGAUAAUGUAAAGGGCUUACCGCGAUUGCAAUGAGCUCUUCUAGCAGUUCUUCUAGAUGACGCAGAGGCUGAACAGGAAGAAAAUAAAGAUGAUCGAGAAUGCAAAUGUACAUGGUCUGAAAAAAUUAAAACUCACCCAUUGUGUUGGACCAUCAACUGGUGCAUUCAAAGGAUCAUCAUGCACCUAAGUCACCGGAAAAUGAACCAAGUUUCAUAACCAAAUCGGAACAAAGAUUCAAAGAGAUGACAAAAAAAUUGCGUUCAAGUUGGAAAAAAAUAUUGAUACCUCCAUGAAAAUUCCAUUGACACCAACAGCUACGGCUGUUCUUGCUACGCAUGGUAUUAAUUCGCGAAGGCCUCCACUAGCAACACCCCCACCAUCUAACUAUAUAAACAAGGUAUGUUUGAGUUUAGACCAAUUCUGAUUUAGCUUUAAAACACCAAGCACUUCUUAAAUUACUCAGAGCAUCGUUCUAAUUAUCAUACCUUCUUGCCUGCAGGUUGUUGUAAUGAAUGAGUUAUAUCAGCAACCUGAAGCCAAUAAUUAUUAAGAGUGUCAAAACAUCAAAAAGUAUAAAGCCAAAACAAAGAUAUAAACUCCCACAACAAGAAAAGAACAAGAAGCAAGAUUAACUUACAACGGGACAAUCAGCUUCCCUCAUCCAUUCCAAAUUUCGUGGAUCUACUAUUAAAUCAUCUGAGGAACAAAAAUCAAAUGUGAGGACACUCAGGAGUCAUAAAGAAGGUAUCCAGUGUCUUUAGUCUAUUUUGGUCCCUAUUUGCAUAAAAGUGGUGAAUAUCUACAUGUUCAUUCACGCUGCCAAUUCUAUUGACACAAAGAACAUUUAACUUACUGUAUCCAAACAUGGUUCCUCUUUCACAAACCAUCACAUUUGGAUUCCCUGCGAGUCUAACCUUCUCGGCCGAGUUUCUCAUGACCUUAAAAUGGAUAUACAUGAAAUCAGUCACUACAAUAUACCAGGAAACAAAAGUUUCUCCAGAUCAAUAAGAUAACUCACAGAGUGACCACAAAAUUGUCCUUUCUUUAUGUUGAUAAUUUUCCCAGUUUGGGCUGCCGCGACCAGAAGAUCUGUCUGGAGAUAUAGGCAGUGAUUAAAACCAUGAACCCUAUCCAUAAAUGAUAAAUUCAAACAGUAGAUGAAAAUUUGAUUGCUAAGAAAGCAUAUGUUAGAAUCUUGCCUGGCGACAUAAGAACGCUGGUAUCUGAAUUACAUCUGCAACCUUGCCGACCGCUUCACACUAAUAAAAACAAGCAAAGCAUCAGAAAGAAACAAAAAAAUUUCGAAUAUUGAUUCUCUGAUGUGACUAAAACUCCAUAUACCUGGCUCGAUUCAUGAACGUCAGUUACGAUUGGUAGAUCAUAUGCUACUUUCACCUUCUCAAGAAUCUGUUGAGAGAAACAGAAAAGUUACUACCUUUACUAUACUUGUGCAGAAAUUACACACAAGAGAUGAAGCCACACCAAUACUAGUUUCCGUCAUAAAGAUAAAUCGCUUUAAUACUCUUGAAGGUUUUCAAAUGCACAGUUGUAACAGCACCAGAUAGAGAAUCAUCCAUGCUUGCAACUGAAGAAGAGGGAAUGAUUAAUCAAAAAUAACCUUGAGACCCUCAGGCAUGCCAGGACCUCGGAAGGACUUUGAUGAAGUUCUGUUAGCUUUAUCGAAACUUGACUUGAAAACCAGGGGCAAUCCAAGCCUACAACAAGAGCAUGCUUAACAAUAAGUAAGUAACCACAUUGUCCAAUAAAUGAGAGGAUCAGGGUUUCCACUAUGACGCGAUUGCUAUAAGUGGAAUACAAUUUUGAAAAUAUUUCCCCCUUUUCAAUUUUUUUAUUAGUUCCGUUCGCCACAGUUGAACACAAGAUGUCAGAACAAGAAAAGAGCUUCAAUGGUGAUGGUUACACAUACGUUGUAGAAAUCUCUUUGAUGCUUUUCGCCAUUCGAAGAACAUGUUCUUCGGAUUCAAUCACAUUUGGACCAGCAAACAAGAAAAACGGCUCCGCAACCUGCAAAGAGUCAUUGUGCGUUUGAUAAGACCACCGGAAGAAAAUAAAAAAAAAAUGAGCAUUGUAAAAAAGAAGACUCAACCUUGAGCUGAUCGUACAGUAGUGACGCUGAAUUCGCCAUUUUUUAGUAGAGCUUAAGAUCAGAAAACAAAACCUCAACUUUUUUAACAAAAUUCACGAAGAAACAAGAAUUUAGUGAUGGUCUGGUUUUGAUUCGAUUUCGGUGGAUAAAUCAGCCAUCCGGUUUUGAUUCGAUUUCGGUUCUUUCACUUGUAAAUAACAAAACCAACCGGUUAGAAAACAAACUUCGAUUUGAUUCGGUUUUAUUUCUUCGGUUACGGUUUGAUCUUUUUACCAACAUUUUCGUUUGUCAUCUUUCGCUCCUAAACCUCCUUGUUCACCAACUCCUCCACUAAACCCUAGCUCACACUCACUAUUCAUUUCUAUCUAUCGGCAUCGACGCCAUUGUUGGAUUGAAGAUGUCAGGAUUCGAAGAUGGAUUUUCAGCUGAAAAGCUAUUCUCACAGGGAUACUCAUACACCUACGACGAUGUGAUAUUUCUACCUCACUUCAUCGACUUUUCCACAGACGCCGUCUCUUUAUCCACGCGCCUCAGCAAGCGCGUCCCACUCUCGAUCCCUUGCGUCGCUUCGCCGAUGGACACUGUAUCUGAGUCCCACAUGGCUGCUGCAAUGGCUGCGCUUGGAGGAAUCGGAAUCGUGCACUAUAACUGUGACAUCGAGACUCAAGCUUCCGUCAUCCGUCACGCCAAAUCGCUUCAAGUUCCGAUUGCGUCUGAUGCUGUUUUCAAAUGCCCAGAGCAUCAGAUUGGUUCGGUUGAUGAUUUUGGUCCUUCUUCCUUCGUUUUUGUCUCGCAGACAGGUAUAAUUUCACAAUCGAUUUCAGACCUUUUAGCUGAAAGUUAGAUACUUUCAUUUUCAGAAUGAAUCAAAAUCGUGGUAAUAAUUGUGAAGUAGUUUCCAUUUGAUAAUUUUUUGUUGUUGUUGUUGUUGUUUGAUUAAUCAGGAACACUGACACCGAAAUUGUUGGGUUAUGUCUCAAAAUCGGAGUGGUCGAGUAUGAAAGAUGACCAAAAGGAGAUGAAGAUAUAUGAUUACAUGAGGAGUUGUGAGAGCAAAGAUUACUAUGUGCCAUGGGAUAUUGAUCUUGACAAGAUUGAGGCGGUUUUGGAAGAUAAGCAGAAAGGAUUUGUGGUUCUGGAGAAGGAAGGUGAGGCCGUCAACGUAGUAACAAAAGACGAUGUGGAGAGGGUUAAAGGAUAUCCCAAGUUAGGGUCAGGAACUGUUGGUGCAGACAAGAAAUGGAUGGUGGGUGCGGCUAUAGGGACUAGGGAUUCAGACAAGGAGAGGCUAGAGCACUUAGUGGAUGCUGGAGCUAACGUUGUGGUGCUGGAUAGUUCGCAAGGGAACUCAAUUUACCAGCUUGAGAUGAUCAAGUAUGUGAAGAAUACGUAUCCAGAGUUGGAUGUGGUUGGUGGGAAUGUGGUGACUAUGUACCAGGCAGAGAACUUGAUCAAAGCAGGAGUUGAUGGGUUGAGAGUUGGUAUGGGAUCUGGAUCUAUAUGCACAACACAAGAGGUUUGUGCCGUUGGACGAGGACAGGUAAAUGAAAAAGCUUUCAUAUUUGAAAUAGAGUGCUAAGUUGAUUCUAUGAAUUGCACCUUACGAAGUCGGGUUCUUUUUUUUGUGAUUGGUUCUCUCUUAGGCUACUGCCGUGUACAAAGUCUCGACACUAGCUUCUCAGCACGGUGUACCUGUUAUCGCAGAUGGUGGCAUCUCAAACUCAGGUCACAUUGUGAAGGCUCUAGUUCUUGGAGCAUCAACUGUGAUGAUGGGAAGCUUCUUGGCUGGAAGCACCGAAGCUCCUGGAGCUUAUGAAUAUCGAGUAAUUGCACACACCUUCCGACUUUGGAUAUUGAUUAACAACCUUCCUUGAUUUUUUUCCUCAAUAUCUUGCUUUGUUUGGUCUGUUUUGUGUUAAUUAUAGAACGGUAGGAGAGUGAAGAAAUACAGAGGUAUGGGUUCAUUAGAAGCAAUGACCAAAGGAAGUGACCAGAGAUACUUGGGAGAUACCGCGAAACUCAAGAUUGCACAAGGAGUGGUUGGAGCGGUUGCGGACAAAGGCUCAGUGUUAAAGUUUAUACCUUACACAAUGCAUGCUGUGAAGCAAGGUUUCCAAGAUCUUGGUGCUUCUUCUUUGCAGUCUGCUCACAAGCUAUUGAGAGAUAAUAUCCUUAGACUCGAGGUAUGUCGUUAAAUCUAGUCCUUGGAAAACUAUCUUAAUUUGCGAUUUCUGCUGUUUUGAUGUUAGUAUUUACGUUUAUGGUGUUGAUGUUGUGUAUAGGCUCGUACCGGUGCAGCACAGAUAGAAGGUGGAAUCCAUGGACUGGUUUCUUACGAAAAGAAAUCGUUUUAGCUUUCCCGAGUUUACUUUCUUAUGUAACCGUGCACUAUACUAGUGUCAACAAUAAGGUUCUGUAAUCCUGUAAUAGUUGAAUCGUGUUUCGUAAUGCUAUUUCACUGAAUCACUACCCUAUUUCAACCAUAUCCAACCAUUUGGGGUUAUGGAAUUGUGUUAUAUUUAACUUUUGUUCAUGGUUUCAGUUUUGUAUUAAACACAAUAAACAUGAAUUUUGCUGGAUCAAAAUAGUAUUAAAUGGCUUGCCACCACAUGAAAGUUUCAACCUCUCAUGUCCAUUAUGCAUGAUUCUGACAAUACAUACAUAUGGGUUCCUGACCCAGUGAUACCAACCUUUACACCGUGGUCGCAGCGUUUAAUUUAGUUAGUUCCCAACAAACUUUGAGCUAUAUCAAACAAAAAAAAAUAAAAAUUUAUAUGAUGUGAUUAGUCUUAUGGGUUAGUCUAUACAUAAUUUUUCUCAUAAACGGUAAAAAUCUAUUCUCAUAGGGAAUUUAUUUACCAAUAGAAGGAGAAGUAAGUGACAGAUCCCAGAAACAACAAACAAGAGCUUAAAACAACUCUUAUCAUCGUCCACCUCCAGCACUUCUGUUCCAUGACAAGUACGAUGGAUCUCCCAAUUGCCUGAAACACAUAAGUAAAACAUAACAUUUACAGUUUUGUCAUUUGUGCUAUAUAGACUGCUAUAUAGACUAUUAAAGACUCUCUAUGACGUUUUAUGAAAACAGUCUCAAAAAUCAGAGAAUGUUACAUAUGUACCUUGGUUUUGCUAGAUACAAGACAGAGAAGGAAACAGCCAAGAACAAGCAUAUGCUACCAACAGUCAAAUACGCAAUCCCAAGGAAAUCAUUCCUUCCACCGAGCCAGCUAGUGGUAGAGAGCACAAGCUUCUUCUUUCCAUUGAAGCUAUAAGUGUUGUAAUUGUUCUGUAACAAGACCUUUAUCGUAUCUCCGGCUUGAAGAUCAGUAUCUAUUUUACCGUACAGCUUUCUAAAUGUUGGUAGAGCCGCAGUUCGCAUCCAGACAAUUAGAUCUUCUUGUUCACUUAACUGUCAGAAACAUACAUUUUUACCAGUUUUUAUAUAUCACUUUAGAAUUUUUUUACUUAAGAUGUGAGAUUCUUAGCACAUCAAAAAGACUUACUGGAACAUCAGGAUCAAGACUUUUACCGCCGAUGGGAGAUCCUUUCUGGAAAUUUUUCGGGAAGACAUUUUUACCAAACUUUGAUUCUCUAUCACUCUUCCAUGAGAUGCCUUUCUUAUUCACAGGGAGUUUUUGAUUGUUUCUAGUGAAGUCAUAAGUAUCAUUGAACAAACUCCAAGCAACAAGACCACAAGGAACAAUGGGUUCACCAUCUAUAGUAUCCUCGGGCGCACAUGAUUUCACAUCGUGCUCAUCUUUCGGACUUCUCAAUUGUCCAUCUUGUCGACUUUUCACAUACCUUCAAUUUGAAAAAUCAUCAAACAAAGUUUUAUUUUCUCAAACUAUUUCAAAUUAAGCCUUGUGCAAUACCUUUAGUAAACAUAUACGUGAUGUGUAAAAAAAAAAAAAUUGAAUCUUGCUGGAAUGCACCAAUAGCACAUGCUCAAAGAGGUUCUGCUAGAGUCCAUGGAAAGUCGCAAACACAAGAAUGAAUACUAAUAGUGAUAUGUUACCGUCGAUGGUUUUGGUAAUAGUUCUCAAGCUGGUAAUAUACAUACACCGGAUUCUUCAUAGUUUUUGUCACCUAUCAUAAAAAAACAUUUAUAAAAAAGAUUGUGAACGAAAGUUAAUUAAGAAGUAUAUAGCAAGAACUAAAGAUGAUAGAUAUCUACCAUUAUUGUUCUGUUACACCUCUUAUCUUCUAAGCCCUGUAUGUAUCUGACUUUGUUGUCCCUAGAGGAUAAUGGAAUGCAGUCUAUGUCAUAUCGAUAAACAAUUUCGAUGACCUGAUCAUGUAUGUAAUAAAAAAAUCAAAUCAUAUUCACAAAAAGAAAUAAUUGUAGCUGAGGAAAGUAAGAAAAGACUAAAACAUACACCCUGAGAAGCAAAUAGGCAAAUCACUCCAAGAGGAAUAAAGACAACCCCUGAGACAAGAAAAGUCAGAAUCACCUGCAAAACAAGAUAACCAAAAAAAGAGUUUAACUAUGAAAAACAUUGGAAAUUGUACCCCUAGGAAUGUUUACAUUGUUAUGAGUUAUUGAUUCUUUACCCAUUUUGGAGUAAGAAUGGGUUUGCAUGCUGGAAGCUCCUGUUGGGUAAAUCUUGAAUCUAAUGAAGCAAAUUCAGCCAACAGAUUAGGUUUCUUAGUAUACAGAUUCAAGGAAACUUAUAUUAAGGAAUCAAAAAGGUAUCACACAUUUUAAUUUGUUGGGGAGUUACAUCAAUCCAGCAACACAAAAUGGGUUUCAACUACACCCUUGUUAAAUUUUCACAUGGAAUGGAUUACUAAAAGAUACCAAACAAAUAAGAAAAUACAAGCAUCCAUUUGUUUGUUUGAACUAGAUUAAUAUCAGUAAUCUGAUUUUUUCCCUAUAUGAUAUAUCUGUAUACAAUGUAAAUUAAUUAUAGUCAUUUGCAUUGAUAAAUGAAGCAUCGAAUAUGAUGAUCUAGAGACUAGCAACAUCUCAAACAAAAGAAUCUGAGUUCUUAACAUUUAUUUUCAACACGCACAUAACUUCCUCUCAAGAGAAAAGCAUAGAAAGAUUGAUCAAUGACAACAACUAUUGGUGGAAUUACAAAGUCAUUCUAGAACACUAUGUACGAUACCAAAGUACAGAUUUGUCAAAUCCGCAAAAGAAAAAAAAAAUCAAAAAUAACCUCAAAUGACAAAAUGUAUCAAAAAUUUGAGAAUAGAUUAGAGAUCACAUUUUGGACGCUUUGAGGUGCUUUUGGCAGCAGCUGCCUCAGCGGAUCCACCGCCUAAUGCAAUUGAGGACGUCCCAGAGGAGCUCAUUAUGAAAGAAUUGACAAGGAGAAAAAAACUAAUGCCGUUUUCAAAAAUAAUGCGUUUUUUUUUUGUGUUUGACUUUUUCGAAUAUCUAAAUAAGUAAAUAGUAAAUACCCAUUUUCACCGAAUUGUGAGAUUUAUCUUGUUUUUUAUCGGUGUUUCCAUCGGUCAUACGAGACCAAACCAUAUAGCCAAAAUUAGAUUGACGAAUAAAAUGUGAAGCCAUGCCAUAUUAUUGAGCUUAUCUUAUGUAAUAGCUUUUGUCAACAACAUUCAUUUGAUUGGAUUUUGAAUGACACAGUAACAACUCUGGUACAACUUAUACAGUUUUCGUAGAUUACAUGGUUUGGUCAAGCUGGUCCCAAAAAUUGUGUCCUUCAAUCGGCAUUUAUUAUGAGACUAACGAGUCCGACUCAUAUUAGUACACAGAAAGAAGCCCAUCAAACACACAAAUUAUACAAAUCGAUUGAACAGUCGUACAUUAUAUACAGGUCCAUGUGACCCAAUCAUUUACUUUCUGUUUUCUUUCAAUCAUUCUUAUUUCUGCAAUAUUUAAUUCAAAAUAAUGGAUUUUAAUUUUUUUUUCUUUUCAAAUAAUUACUUGAAAUAGGUUAAAAAUAGAUACCAAAGAUUUUAUUAUAAUAUAAAAAUAAUUUACAUAAUUCUAUGCAAAACAUGAAAGAAAAUUGUAUCUAGUUCUAAUGACAAUUGAAUAAAAUAUAUUUUAAAUUAAAGGUUAGUUACAUUAAAACUAAACUUUAGUCUUGUAUUAAGGAUUGUUUUGCCCAACUGUCUUAUUUUUGGGUUGGUUGGUAAUCUAUAUUUUUCGUUUCUAAUCACUUUAUACAACCACCAUUUUCAACUGUUUAAUCAUUUAAUCAUUCCAUUGAUUGAUAAAAACGAUGAGUAAUCUUUGCUAGUAUCGGAUUAGAGGGUAGGAUUACAACUUGGUCUAACUACAUCCGAUUUAAUGUUUUAAACCAUUCCACUAAUUUUAUUAAACCAUUCCACUAAUUUGUGAUGAACCAAUCCAACUAAAAAAGUUUUGGUCCACCGAAUUGAUUGAUAACUUCCCAAGCCGUCUAAUCUAAACUGCCACCAAUCAAACCAGUACUUUCUAUACUAACACGGAUUCUCGACGUGAUGAUUUAGUCCAUGGCAUGUGAACGGAUCCGAUCGUGGCUCAACCAGUAAAGCUAUGUUUUUAAAAUUAGAUAAAUCAAAUCCACGACUUAUAAGUAUGACCAUCAAUAUAAAAGAAACAGUAAAACAGUAAUGAACUGAAUCCAUACUGGCAUGAAUACUUUGACUUCGACGACCCAAGCUUCACUUGAAGCACGUUUGAAAUAUUAUUAUAACACAUAUUAAACACGGUAUGAAUUAAUUUAUACAAGUUGAGAUUUGCUUUUAAUGAAAACACAGAUUCAGAUUUAUAUAUAGUUGAUAAGAAUUAAUGAGAGUAUACCAAUAGUCAAGUCAAGCUCUUCAAAAACACAAAAACAAAACCAAACACAAAGCUCGAAACUAAACAAUAAUGGAUGAUCCAUCAGAACCAUUGUUGUCUCAUUUCGCCAAUGAUUCUGGAGUCAACGACAAAACAGCAUUGACUUUCGACAAGAUCGUCGAACAGAGUCUAUCAGAUUUCGGAUUCUGGCAAUUUUUCCAGAUAUCCCUGGUUGGACUCGCUUUGCUCUUCGAUGCUCAGCAGAUAUUCAUCACCGUGUACACAGAUGCUUAUCCCACGUGGCACUGUCUAAACCACACGAUCUGUGAUCCUUCAGCUUCCGACAUCUGCAAUCUUCCAAGAUCAGCUUGGGAAUGGGACGGUGGUUCCAAGGGCAAAUCCGUCAUUUCAGAAUUCGGCCUCGAGUGCUCGAGGUCUUUACUCAGAGGUAUGCCUAGUUCCGCUUUCUACAUCGGUGCCAUUGUUGGAGGCUUUUUUCUAGCUUUGAUCCCAGACGAUUCCUUGGGUCGCAAGAAACUAGUUUUGUUCUCAACCUUUGCAAUGUCAAUCACUUCAAUCUGUGUUAUCUUCUCAACCAAUAUAUGGAUUUAUACAUUCCUAAAGUUUUUCAUCAGAUUUUCGCGAUCACAGACCUGGUCAUACGCGUUGGUUCUCAUCAGUGAGCGAGUCUCCACCAGAUGGAGACCUAGAGCUACAAUGAUUCCAUUUACCCUAUUUGUUUUAGGGUUUAUGUCGUUGUCUGGAAUCGCUUACCUUGCUCAAGAUUCUUCAUGGAGAUAUCUCUAUCUAUACACAUCUGUUCCAGCGAUAUUUUACUGUAUCUUCCUCUACCUCUUUGCACUCGAAUCACCUCGGUGGCUUCACAUGCAAGGAAAUGAUAAAGAAGCCAUUGAUGUUCUCACAAAGAUGUCGCCGAAGAACAAAGCUUAUUUGGAAUCAGUGGUUUCUAAGUUACCCCACGAGCAAGAAAACUUUGAACAAGUGCCAACUUACUCUAUUAAGGACUUCUUCUUCCGAAAAUGGGCUUUUCAGAGGAUUUUAGUUGUUAUGAUCAUAAUGUUUGGGUUGGGAAUAUCGUAUUACGGUGUUCCUUUAGCAGCUAGAGACAUAGAUGUCAACAUCUACUUGAGUGAAACCCUAAAUGCAUUGGUGGAGCUGCCUACUUUCGUCAUCACUCCAAUCUUAUUGGAGAGAUUCAACAGAAGAAGCUCUGUUCUAGUGAAUACCUUACUUGGUGGGGCAUCGGGAGUGCUCUGUUUUGUUCUCAGCAUCCUCGGAACAUUCUUCUGCGCAAGGAUCGGAUUCAACCUUAUGGCAGUUUUUAUGGUUGAAAUGUUUCCAACUUGUGUGAGAAGUUCGGCAACAAUGAUGUUUAGACAGGCUCUUGUUGUUGGAGGAGCUUGUUGUCCGUUAAUUUCUUCGAUUGGAAGAUACAUUCCGUCAGUAUCGUUUGCGAUUUUUGGAAUUGCAAUGUCAGGUUUAGGAUUGUUCGUUUUGAUUCUGCCUGAGACAAAAGGUUUGAGUCUCUGCGAUUCAAUGGAAGAACAAGAAAAGAGAGAUCAAGCCGUAAACACUAGCCAUGUUUGCUGAGAGUUUAAGAGUUUGUUUAGCUUAAACAUUCUCCAUUUUCAUAUGUUUUCAAUUCUGUGAUGUUUGUCUUGAUUUUAUAAGAGUAAAAUAUUUGAAGUUUUGUUAAGUAAAAACUAAAGAGUAUUUGCUAAUCAUCUACAAAGCUAUCAAAUGAGUUUCUAUGUCUUUGAACUACUAAUACAGAAGCAUUUACAUCCAUAUUUGAUGAAGCCAAGAAAUCUCCGACUGUUCCUAAUUCCGGACACUCUUCCCAAUCGUUCAUUCCUGAAGUCAUUGGACAAUCUCCUCUGUUUUUUCCUACCACAAACAGUGAAUACAUCUCCCCGAUCUCUCUCAGAAUUGUCAGCGUCUGCACUCCGUUGCUCACUCGCUUCUCUAUGAAUCCAACUUGCCCCGUCGUCACAAAUCUUUCAAGACAAAUCAAAAACAUCCCCGUAAAUGAAAAACGCAAUGUAAUUCUGGUGAAGACAAGAUACAGAAACAGAGUAUACAUAUAUAUAUAUAUAGCGACAUAGUAACAGAGUACUCGUCAUGCCAAAAACAGAGUAUUUGUAAGGUACCUGUUAUAGAAUUCUUCUAAGAAGAUUCGAUCUGUUUCGUCUUCGGUUUGAUCUUUACUAACAAUCUCCAAGAAUACUUCGUUGUUUUCCUUGGUCACCGCGUCACCAACAAGUUUCUCCAUCUUUGAGUCAUCGGCCACAAACUGUAUUACAGUGAGGUGAAUCUGAGAGUUAUUGGUAAGCCACUUGCACAAGGACAGAGCCUCACGGUCAUCAGGACCACCGAAGAACAACGCCGCAACGUGUUGUACCGAAUCAGAGCCGUGAAGCUGGUGAAACCCGGUUAUGUUUCUAUCAACAAAGAUACCUAUCGAACACUGAGCUUGCUUUAGAACCUUCCGGUUCAUAUGUCGAAAAACUUCCCCGUCAUUGGUGGUUUUCCCGUCGAUCCUCUGGUGUUUAUGAAAGGGAAGAAACACAAUCGAGACGCGAAGAUCUUCAGUCGCGUUACAGAUCUCUUCGUGCAUAGUCUCCAUCGGUGCCACGAGUUUCACUUGCCGGAUCAUGAUUUUUCUGUCUUUAGUAAACGAAUCGAUCGAGUCAUUGAUCUCUAGUCCUUCAUUAGUCCCGAACUCAUCGUCUCCACCGUUGGAAUUUCCUCCAUCUUCGUCUAAUUCGUGGUACAACAAUUCCGUUUUCCGCUUCUUCGGGAGCGGUAUGAGGUGCAUAAGAUAAGGCGUGAACGGCGAAGAAGAAGCUCCAGGAGAGAAGCCACUUAGAGCAGAGACUAAAGAGAUUGAUCCACGAGCAUGACGAACACCAUAGACGCACGUCAACACUCGUAACUCCUCUUUAGUGUCAAAAAACUCAAGUGAUGUUUUUAUGUGUGCGAAACUCUUUUCUUGCACUCUAAGCAACAAAGACGUCAUAACUCCGCUUAACAAAGUCAUGAUCACUAGAGCCGCAACGAACAUAUCAUGAACUACCGGAGUAAACCAUUUCUACAAAGAGAAAACCAAUAACACGGAGAUGAAGAUUAUUAACUGACUUGAAAAACUAAAUUAACAAAAACUCGUAAUUUGUUGUAAUACCUUGUAAAUCAAGUUAGAGUCGAGAAGAACAAGACCUAUAUGACCUUUGACGGAAAGCAUAGUUGACAAGAAAAGCCAAUACUUCUUUGGGAUCUUUAGGAAUGAACAAGCGCAUAAAACUCCUAGAAGCUUCCCCAGUAGGCUUAAAGCCACUGUCAUAGCAAGGACGAGGUAGUGGCGUUUGGUUAACGAAUUCACGCUAAAUCUAAACCCGAUGUAACCAAAGUAAACCGGAAGAACAAACUCGUGAAUCGGGUAACUCAACCGUUGGAUCAUCGUUCUGUAAGUUUUUCCUUCUCUCGGAAACAUUAAUCCGAUGAAAAACACAAAAAGCGUGGAGUUUAAGUUGCUGGAUUCAAUGGUUAACGCGAUGAUUAGAAUAAUGAUGAAGAAAGCAAGCGUUUCAGCUUUGGAGAGAUAUUUCUCUUUAGGGUUUCUUUUUGGGAGCCAUGAAGCUAAGAAUCUAUUAAUCAAGAUUAUAACUCCGGUGGCAAAUGUGUAGAUAAAAAUAUCGGCGGUCAUAGUCCCUGAGAUGAAAGAAAGGACGAUAGUGUAGAGAAAUAUGUUGGUUAUCUCGAUGAACAAUCCACAUGAGAUUGCUAGCCGUCCGAUCUCAGAUGUGUGGAGUUUCCAAUCGAUGAUCGAACGGAUGACGACAGGAGCUGCCGUGUUGGACAAGGUAAUGAGGAAGGCUAAGUAAAAUGUUAAGAAAUCGCCUUUGAUCUGCAUGAAAUGGAUGAUAAACCAGAGGAAAGGGAGCCAGAUGAUGCCAGAGGUGAGUAAGGAGCCCAAAGUUAUGACAAUGGAGUUCUUUAAGUUUCGUUUUAUGAAGUCAAGAUCGAUCUCGAGACCGAUCAAGAACAUGAAAGCUGUUCGUAAAAGGAAUGAGAAAAAGAUGUAAUAGCUCGCUGAAUCUUUCUGGAGGAAGAACUCGUGGACUUUGCGGAUUAUUGUGAGCAAACUCAACACAAUCCCAGCCUGAAUUAAAAUGAUCAAACCGUCAGUUUUUUUCUGAAUGUUUAUAAUAUAUCAAUUAUCCUGGUUUUUUGCACGACAGGUUAUUCUCAGGGUUUAAGGAGUCAAAUUGUGAAAAGUUCAAAAAUAAAAAAAGUGUUUAAAAGUAUUUUUAAAGAAAAAAACUUACGAGAAUCUGGGCAACGGGACCGGCUUGGCCACAGGGUUUAAGGAAGAGAUAGAAGAAUUGAGAGAAGACGAGAAUGCAAGCCAUUUGAAUAAACAUUGUAUUGAGUGGAUUAAACAAUGCAUCUCCUUCUGGUAAACAAAACAACAUCUUUGGAUCCAUUUUCUUGAUUCGAUUUUGAGCAUUCUUCAAAGUUCAAUGCGGGAAAUAUAAAAUUUGAAAGAAACUUCAAUUUCUUUUAAAACGAAGAAUAUAUAGUUUUCAGUUUUUUUCUUAAAAAUAUAAAUAUUACUUUAUCUUGGAUUGGAGUUUGAGGGGUUUACAUUUACGUGAUUUUCCUCCAAUUACUCCAUGCCUUUUGUUUUUCGCCAUUUAUUUUUCUUGUCGACACAUUUAAUUUUCGCCAUUAAAAGCGGAUAUACUUACUAUUAUCGGAAAAUGCAUGAAUUAUUGGAGUAGGUUUAAAGGGGGUAAGUUUAUGUUUUUGGUAAGAUUAUACAAAAGUGUCGAUUUCAGGAAGAAAACUAUGUAAACUUAAUUUUUUCUUCUGACAUUAGGUUCUUUCAAAAGUAUUUACUAACAUUGCAUCCAAUGGAAAAAUCAAACAAAAAACUAUUGCUUUUUUGUCAACGAAAAACUAUAGCUUUUAUGUAUUAUAUUUUAUAAGUUACUGCACUACUUUAUGUAUGAAUUAAAAUUAACAGGUAUACGUCAAAUUAUUUAUUUAUAACUUAUAUCUGAUUUUCUUAUUUCAAACAUUUAUAUUAUACCUGCUGAAAUGUUAUAUUUAUUUUCUUAUUGAUUAAAUGAAUAUUUUUAUUGGACAGAAAAUUAUCGAGUAUAUUGUUAUAAACUGCAUGAAAAACAGAGCAUCCAUCUAUAUAUUAGACUUUCGAUGACAUUCCAGUGUUCUGUAUAAAACAAAACUAUGCCUCCACAAAUUUGUAUAUUUUAUUUAUGUUCUCCUACAUGCAUAAGGCUACGUAUAAGCUUCCAAAUGACUAGAGACAUUCGAAUUAAAGACAUCUCCCAUGCUCUGGAAAGCAAUUAGAUUAAGCUUAUCUUGUCCAACUGCAGCAACCAGGUGCAACUUGAUCAUUAUUUAAGUUACAGCAUCUAAUAUUGAUUUUAAUUUUGUACUUACCUUACAAUAAGAUUUAAUCCAAAAAUAUGUAUUUAUUUACAAAGAUGUAUAUCAAGAAAUGAUAAAAAGCUCAUUGAUGUAAAAAAAAAAAUGAUAAAAACCCAUCGAAGAAUAAAUGAUAAUUAAAGAAGUAGACCCAAAGUGGCUGAGUGUGGGAUCACAGGGAGCUAAUUAACGGCGGUGGGGAAGAAGGUCCUGAGAAACCAAUUAUAGAUGGCUCAUCCUCAGCCAUUCACUUAGCCAUCGAGAGAUCUAAGAGCAAGAUUAUCGGCAGGUUCUUAAAUGAAUCUUAGGUUUUAGAAUGAUUUAAUUUAAAUCAGAAAAGGUGAAUAUAACUAAGGAACGUUCCUUAGUUAAGGAACGUUUUCUGUCUUAAGAGUUGGACACGUGUCAAGGUCAGAAGCCCCAAAUUCUCUCUCUUCUCCUCCUCUCUCUCUUUCACGUUCCUCUUCUCUGGCUUGGAGGAGAUUUCGCGAUUAACCUCUUCUUCUUCACAAUUCAGUUUCCAAUUUCACAAAAUCUUAAAAUCAAUCUCUCAAAUAUCUCAAUCGUGAUCAAGGUAAAUUUCUGGGUUCUUAUUCAGUUUAUCCUAUUGAAGAUACUGUAUCUAAUAAAUGUGUUUUAUAUAUGUAAUGAGUUUGACGCCAAAAAAAAUAUUAUAGACUAAAGACAUGUCCUGCUAGCUGGAUCCUAGUCACUGUCUCACGGACAGUAUUGCAUCCAAAUUUUUAAUUAGUUGUGAUCGAUCACAAUAUUUACAAAACUUUCCCACCAUUCUAAAAUAACAUUUUUUAAUUACUACCUCUUUUUUUCAUACAAAAAAAAUAAAUUUUUAAAAACUGUUAAAUGAUAUUUUAUUUCAUCCAAUAAUUUAUCGGACGUAAAAUAACUGGAAAGAUUCUAUCCAAAAAAAAUAAAAUAUGGAAUGAAAUAAUCAAUUAUUUAUAUAAGAAAUUUAAUUUAAAUGCACACACAAGUUGUAUUUUAUUCUCUAUAUAUAGAUUAUAGAGUAACAAAAAUUGAUUGGACAUGCAAAUCAAUUCAAACAUAAAAUUAAGUACGAAAGAAAACCCUAUCUCUUCUUAUAUAUGGCCGACUCGACACGGCCGCUUCUCUCCGAUUCCAACUCGUCCGAGUCAAAUCUUCCACCACCAAAAUCCCUUGACGAGACGAUAGAGCAAUGCAUCGGAAACUUCGGGUGGGCACAAUUCCUCCAAGCCGCUUUAGUCUCAUUCGCUUGGGUCUUCGACGCUCAACAAACAUUCAUCACUGUCUUCACCGACUCACAACCCACAUGGCACUGUACCGACUCGGACCUAGUCGACUCAGUAUGCAACACGUCAUCUUCCAACCUCUGCACCUUACCCAACCAAACCUGGUCUUGGGACUUCAACCCUCACGUGUCAAUCAUUUCCGAGUGGGGGCUACAAUGCGCCGGCUCGUUCCUCAAGGGAUUGCCUGCAAGCUCCUUUUUCCUUGGCUGUCUAAUCGGCGGCUUAGUUCUUUCUACACUCGCCGACUCAUCGCUCGGUCGUAAGAACAUGCUCUUGUUGUCGUGUCUCAUAAUGUCUCUUUCUUCGAUGUUAACAGCUUUCUCAACGAGCAUUUGGGUUUAUGCGUUUUUGAGAUUCUUGAACGGGUGUGGCCGAGCCACGAUCGGGACUUGCGCGCUCGUUUUAUCAACGGAGUUAGUCGGUAAAAAAUGGCGAGGAAAAGUCGGUGCUAUGGGUUUCUUUUGCUUCACGUUAGGGUUUUUAUCGCUGCCGAUGUUAGGUUACAUUAAUAACGGGAAUUCGUGGAGGUAUCUUUAUGUUUGGACAUCGAUACCGACUUUAAUCUAUUGCUGUUUAAUUCGGAUUUUCGUCAGGGAAUCUCCUAGAUGGCUUAUCGUAAAGGGUCGUAAAGAAGAAGCCGUCUCAAUUCUCCAAAGCAUUGCUUCUAAUGCAAUCACUAUGAGCUUCACGAACUUAUGUUUUGAUAUAGAAGAGGAUCAAUCCAAUUCAAAUCCUGAUGUUUACGACGCGUUAAAGAUCUUGGUGAGGAAAAGUUGGUCGUUUAGGAGAUUAUUAGCGGCAAUGGUGGUUGGAUUUGGUAUCGGUAUGGUUUAUUACGGAAUGCCAUUAGCUUUAACGAAUCUAAACUUCAAUCUUUACUUAGGUGUUGUAUUCAACGCCUUGUCUGAGUUCCCAGCUUUUCUGAUAACGUUUUUCUUCAUUGAUAAAAUCAAUAGAAGAGAUGCGUUGAUCGGAUUUACAGCUCUAAGUGGAAUCUCUAGCGCUCUGAUCGCGGUGUUAGGACAACAACUAGGGGCAUUACAGAUUGUGUUAGAGCUCGUUUCGUUUUUCAGUGCGUGCACCGCAUUUAACAUGACGCUUAUAUACACAAUUGAGAUGUUUCCGACAUGUGUGAGGAACUCGGCGAUUGCGAUGGUGAGGCAGGCGCUGGUGUUUGGCGGCGUUUUUAGUCCAGUGAUGGUUGCUGCUGGUCGCGAAAAUCAGUUUUGGUCGUAUGGGUUGUUUGGUUUGGUCAUAGCAUUGUGUGGAUUGUUUGUGUUUGGAUUGCCGGAGACUAGAGGAAGUGUUCUAUGCGACACUAUGGACGAGGAGGAGUAUAAGACUUUGGCAAAGAGACAAUUUAUUGGUUGAUAGUGUUGUCUUUGCUGUAAUAAUUAAAAAGUAUGCAUGCAGGCUUAAACCGUUUCGGUAUUGAUUCAAAUGCCGGUCCUAUUAAUUUGGUGGCCUAAAGCAAAAUAACAAAAUAGAGUCUAAUAUUCUUUUAAGCAAAUUUUAUUGAUUAUACAUAAUAGUUUUUAUUUUAUAUUACAUGAUAUUAUUAGUUAUCAAAAAUAUAUUUAUCAAUAAUUUAUAAUAAGAAAAUAUGAACAUUAUUCACGUUAUUGUGAAAAACAGAACAAGAUAAAAAGAAAAUAUGGACAAAAUAAAUGUAAGUACAUGCACUCGAACCCUUGAAUAUGAGAGAUUACUCUUGGACACUUAGCACUACACCACCUAGGAUUCUUAAAUGUGGCCUCAACUUUUUAGUAUUUAUUUGUGGCCUAAAGCGGGAGCUUUGCCUGCCUUAUAGACGGGUCGGGCCUCUUCAAAUCAUUCUGGUUUUAAUACUUAUGAAACCACGUACGGGUUAACUCCUUGCAUUAAGCUUAAUUUCGAUGUAUGACCAAUUAUGACUUUUAUGAUUUUUUUAUCAUUAGACUGAUAUUUUUUUACAAUCAAGAAAAUAUAGAAAUUGGUCAUAAGAUAGUACAAUGGAAAGAUGGUUUUUUUUUUUUUUGUUGUCUGGUGUUAUUAAAAACAAGGUAAGGAUACAUAAGCCGGACACACCGGAAUCAAAGCUCGCAAAUUCCGACUAAACUAAGCUCGGAAUUUUGAGAGACAAAGCUCGCAAACUCCAACUAAACUAAGGUUGAAAUUUCGAGAGACAAAAGCCCGCAGAUUCCGACUAACUAAGCUCGAAAUCUCGAGAGACAAAGUCCGACUACCCGGGAAACAACUUCAUAUACAAACAAAGACUCUUAAAUGAGAUAUGCAAACACAACUAUUCAAAACUCAAAAACUAGACCAAACCCGAGAGCGGAAAACGAUUAGACAUGUUGGAACACCGAAAAUAACCAACCGAGGCUUCAACUCUACUUGUCCUCGCUUGAUGUAGGUAGACUUCAGAAAUUUGAAACUUGUGCUUCCUUGGGAUGGCAAGACGAAUCUUUCAAAAGAUAAUUGACAAGACCGACGAAACUGCCAGGGGCCGGAGAAAUCGAAACAAAUGUCGAAACCAGUUAGGAGGCAGCACAAACAAAACAGGUCUCGACCAAACCUGAAAUUAACUUCGUGUGGAGGAGACUAAACAGCCGCUUAAUCGACUCACCAAAACCUUCAGAGGGAAAGAAUGGUGACGGAUGCGAUUCGAUUAAGUCCUAGGAGAAGGCCAGCAAAGAGGAAUGAACAGAAAUGACAUAAACUCAUAACUUCCGCUGAGAACCAGAGACUGAGAGCCACAAAAACCGGACCAUAUGGCUAAACCAUACACACAGCCCGUCGAGAAAGGGCCAAACAACCAGCUAAUUCUCAGAUAACGACCAAGCUAACGAU
Molecule: long non-coding RNA, 56016 nt
Filed under: Arabidopsis lyrata
Lineage: Eukaryota; Viridiplantae; Streptophyta; Magnoliopsida; Brassicales; Brassicaceae
Description: long non-coding RNA (ALYR_LNC003011)
Source: RNAcentral